This 86482-nucleotide long non-coding RNA is filed under the name Prunus persica (peach). RNAcentral describes it as "long non-coding RNA (PPER_LNC003861)". The stretch from base 66449 to 66522 matches the Rfam family "tRNA". Lineage: Eukaryota; Viridiplantae; Streptophyta; Magnoliopsida; Rosales; Rosaceae. The record is from RNAcentral.
UUUUUUAUCAGUUAGUUGCCCCGCCUCUGUAGUUUUACCAGGAAUGGGGGGUAAAACUGGAAUUCCUGGAAUUCCUGGAAGGGGAGGGAGAGGAGGAAGUUGUGGCAAUGGUGGAAGAAAAGGGACUGUAGGAAGAGGAGAAAGAUCAGGUAUUGUGGAGUUUUGAGUUAGUUGCCCUGCCUCUGUAGUUUUACCAGGAAUGGGGGGUAAAACUGGAAUUCCUGGAAUUCCUGGAAGUCCUGGAAGGGGAGGGAGAGGAGGAAGUUGUGGCAAUGGUGGAAGAAAAGGGACUGUAGGAAGAGGAGAAAGAUCAGGUAUUGUGGAGGUUUGAGUUAGUUGCCCUGCCUCUGUAGUUUUACCAGGAAUGGGGGGUAAAACUGGAAUUCCUGGAAUUCCUGGAAGUCCUGGAAGGGGAGGGAGAGGAGGAAGUAGUGGCAAUGGUGGAAGAUAAGGGAGUGUAGGAAGAGAUGGAAGAUCAGGUAUUGUGGGGUUUUGAGUUGGUGGUGGAAAUGUGAGCUCAUCAGUUGGAGGAAAUGAGAAUUUCCGAGAACUGAAUUCCUUGGAGUUUUGAAUGCUUGGUUUUUGGUUACAUAGGCUUGGCUGCUUUAGAGGCUUAAAGGUGAAGAACCCAGCUGAGAAAAUGUGUGUUCCUUGCUUUCUUGACUUGAGAUGCAGUGAAGAUGAAGUGGCUAUUGAGGCCACAGCACAAUAUGGUUCACUGCUGCUGAUUAAUUUCACAGAACACCCUUCAAUUUUCUUGACAUGCUUGCUCACAGAGAAAGGCAGAUGAACUCUGAACACUCCAUGGCUAUCUGUUUUCACUUCUGUCUGGAAACUUGGUUUUGAACUCCCAUCUUUGCAUUCAACACCAACAGAAGCCCCUGCAGAAAAAAUAAGUUGAAAAAUAAGUCAACUGAACGCAAAAUUCACAGUAUAAAAAGCACUUUUUAAUUGAGUUGUUGUUGGAAAAUUUGAAAUGAACCUGAAAUGAAGUGGCUGGCAUGUGAGAAUUCUGCUUGGAAACAUGUGUCACAGUAGACAGUGCCUACAACAACUGCAGAUGGGGUCUUCUUCUCAUGGCUAGCUUCUGAGGGAGUACUUAGUGAGAGAGUACUGAUCAAAAAGAGUACUGUAAAAAACCAAGACAUUUUAGAGCAUCUAUUGCCUCUGAGCAACUCUAACUCUAAGAAUGAGUAGAUGUAGGUUGCCUUUUUAUAUAAAUUCCUGAGGCUUAUAGCUGAUAUAAAUAUUCUCUACAGCAUUCAUUAUACACUUUUUUUGUUUCUUUCUGGUUGUUUCGAGGCAUAAAAAAUGAACUUUUUUCUUCAAAUUUUAUAGCCUGCUGGGCCAUCAAGGUAAUUUAUUUCACUCAUGCAAAAACCAGUCAACUGCAAACUAGAAGAAGUGAAUGUAGGUUCAUUUCCUACCACCAAACAACCCAAAAAAGAAGGUUAAUACUGUGAUUGUGAGGUAGAUAUAAAGAGGCCCCUAACUUUUGCUUUGUUUGCUUACAUUUAUUGAGUUUGUUUCUUUGUUUGGUGUAAGAAUUCUAAAGAGAAUAGUUGGGUCCCCGUUGGUUCACGAGACAAGUGGAGUAACCACAAAUUUCAUGAGUCCGAAGCUGUACACUAUCAACAACACAGGUUGAAGAUGUUGUUGGGUUUAUUUAUGUAUGUUCUUCACACAGAAACAAAAUGAUGGGCGCCUACUAUGAGCUGCUCUCAGUAAUAUAUAUCUGUGCAAAUUGAAAAACUCCCCAAGUACCAAACAAAGUUUACAACUCAAUGUAUGGAUCAGAAUCUUAUUAAUAAGGCUUUUUGGUUCAGAAUGUUAUGAUAAUCAUUAGAUUCAUUUAUUACAAUUUGCUUUAAAUUUUCUAAUUGUUUUUAACAAGUCUUUUCAGUGCAGGUGAUCCAUAAAUAGGUAAAGUAAACAGUCAAGUGAUUGCAACCGAAGAGUCUUUUCCUCAGUCUUUUGACACAAAGUUUUCUGACAAAAAAUAAAUAAAUAAAAUUUAGAUUUUAGCAACAAAAAAAUUUUCACUUUUGAAAAAAUCUAAAAAAAUUUCGAAAAAGACAUAAAAACUCCUUAACUUUCAAACCAAAAGACAUGCAAAUAUAAAUGAUUCCUUUGGAAAUCCAAAAAUAAUAAGGGCAUUUUUGUCUAUUUUUGCUUAUUUUCAAAAUAUUUCUCUCUAUUUUGGCAUUUUCCAAAAUAUCCCCAAAAAAAAACGACAAAGUUUAGACAUCAUCAGCAAUUAUAAGUCACUUGAGCACAGAUGUAUAUUCAAUAAUUGGUUUGGUUCAAAAACUACCAAUCUACAUAGUACAAUGAUUGUGGGACUGAUUAUUGGGAAUUUGUGAGACUUAUUUUAGCAGAAAAUGGACAAUGCAUAUGGCAUGCAAUGAUCCAAACUCAAAACAAAGAAGCUACGACUUCCAAGUAUUUGAGCAAUUUCAAGCCAACUCAGAAAUCUCUGUACUCUGUAGGCUUAUAAGACACUCUCCCAUGUGUUGAUGUUGCAUACAGAUUCCCUUUGCAUCAAUAUCCUUCCAUUCCAACAGUCUGUUUUUUUUUUUUUCUUUUUUAAAUUCAAUUUUCCACAUUUUUUACUGUCCGUCAAAUGCAUAGCAUUUUGGGUGAAAAAGAAAAACAAGAACUUCUACUACUGACAAAAGAGACACCAGUCACACCACAGAGGCACAAACUCCAGAAUUAUGAUAAUUACAUCCUGCAUUGGAAAUUGACAGAUUGUCUUCACGUUCCCCACAGUUUUGCAUUGAGCUGCUAACAAUCCCACAAACUUGCACCGUUUCAUUCUUUGUCCGUGGGCCACAAUUUUUGACAAAUUUGACAAUCUAAUAAGGCGGUUCCUGACAAUCCAAGGUUAUCUCCAUGACAACCACAAGCCACUGUUUCACUGUUAUCUUGUGAGGAAAUUGAAAUGUAACACCAAAUUUUCUUUUACACAGUGCAAGAGAUAAUGCAUGUUAAAAGUUAAAAAAACAAAAGGGGGAUGUUUUUGUCUAAUUCUAUGAUGUACAAAACAUCUCUUUGUCCUUCACGGGUUCCAAAACACAAUGUCACCUCUUCACUUCACGGGCGACCUUAAGCCUGUGGGCUGAGGGCCUUCGUGUCUGCUUGUUGAAUGUGGAGUUUUUCAGCCGAUGGAUACCAUUCCCAAAUGGAUACGUCAAGCUUGAAACAUACGAUGAGAUUCUUGAUUAGAUCCUUGAUGGCUUGUCCAUUAUUAUUGAAUUGAAACAACAAAGUUUGAUUGGUAACAAGGUUUGCCAACUCGAAGGGUAAGAUUGUAGCCAAUCAACUAAACUUUUUAGUGUCAGGUGCAUCCACUGAAUGUAAGGUCUCAUAUUUGAUUUACAUAAAUACAAAGAUGAUAUUUAUUUGUGACGGGUGUAUAGCUUUGUUGUGGGUACGCUUCUCAUUGUAAAAGUAUAUUUGUAAUAACAUCAGUAAUUUUUUCUUUUGUAUUAAAUAACAUUAGACACCUCAUUCAUGCAGGGAAGUUCUUUUAUCACAUUGAAUGUAUAAUGUAUAGCAGCAAUUUUCAUCCGUACAAUAAUGUAAUCAUCAGCAUGUGAUAUUUCUGUUUGUUCUUCUAUCUGAGUUUGUAUUUAUUCCAGUCUGAAUGCUUGAUAUGGAGAAAGAAAGUACUUGAUGAGCCAUCUGUCCAUGAAAUCAUUGGUUUCUAAAACAGCAUAAUAUUUGUAGAACAAAACCAUAGAUUAAAUUGUUAGAUUUCUUUAUGCACAAACAAGAUCUUUCACACAAAACUGUAAUACGUAUAAAGACAUGAAGACAUAUCUGGAGCCAUUUUCCUUGAGUACACAGCUUCUAAACUCAUCCAAUCCGUAGCAGCAGCAAUCCUAGCAAGAAUAGGAAUGGCUCAAGACUUCUGCUCUCUCUCAGAAUCUGUUUCAGCUCUCUCUUUAUAAUGAGAAUAGGUUUAAAGAACGUGUCUGAUGAGAGCAGGGCCUUAAGCUUAUAUAGGGCUAGGUCAAGUCGUCUCUAUUCAUCACCUAGGGCUGACUUGACUAAUCUUCCAAGUCCACCAGAUUGGUUCACGCAUAAAUGGAAAUAAAUAGGACCCCUUAAUAGGCCUCAAAACCCUUCCUUAUUUCACUAAGUUUUGGGCCUCAAUGUACAACUUAAUUUAAACUUUUAUUAAAAUAUAAUAUAACUUAGUAUCUAGUACACCGAUCUAAAUAGGAAAACAUAACAUAAAUAAACCCAGCUGCAAGUUUGUAUAUUGGACUGGAGUGGUACCAUUUGCAGAACAAAACAAUGUGAUACAGCGCAAACUAUAUUGGCCAGUUUGCAGAUUCGAAGAAAUAAUGCAAAAUAAUCACAACCAUCAUCUGUAUGCAAAAACAAAAAAACAAAAACAAAAAAAAAACAAAAACAAAAAAAACAAAAAAAAAAAAAAAAAAGAAGAAGAAAGAAAGAACAAUCAACGAUGCUUGUCAUAAAAAACAACUGCAGAUGGGUGCUUCUUCUCAUGGCUAGCUUCAUGAGGGAGUACUUAGUGAGAGAGUACUGAUAAAAAAGAGAACUGUAAAAAACCAAGACAUUUUAAAGCUUCUAUUGCCUCUGAGCAACUCUAACUCUAAGAAUGGGUUGAUGUAGGUUGCCUUUUAUAUCAAUUGCUGAGGCUUAUAACUAAAAACUAAUAUAAAUAUUCUCCACAGCAAUCAUUAUAAUUUUGUUUCUUUCUGGUUGUUUUGAGGAAUGAAAAAUGAACUUUUAGUUUUUUUUUUUCUUUCAAAUUUUAUAGCCUUGCCCAUCAAUAGUUUCUUUAUUUCACUCAUGCAAAAACCAGUCAACUGCAAACUAGAAGAAGUGAAUGUAGGUUCAUUUCCUACCACCAAACAAUCCAAAAAUAAGGUAAAUAUUGUGAUUGUGACUGUGAGGUAGAUAAAAAGAGGCCCCUUAAUUUUUGCUUUGCUGGUUAUUUGUCUACUUAAAUUUAUUGAGUUUGUUUCUUUGUUGGCGUAAAUACUAAAGAGAAUAGUUGGUUCACAAGACAAGUGGGGUAACCACAAAAUUUCAUGAGUCUGAAGCGUUACACUAUCAACAACGUUGAAGAUGUUGUGUUUAUUUAUGUAUGUGCUUCACACAGAACCAAAAUGAUGGGGGCCUAUUAUAUUGGUUAGAAGUACAAAUAUAUAUCAUCUCUAUAAAAAAAUCACUUGAAUCCGAUAUCAUUUGACCACUCAAUUAAAUUAUUGAAAUUUAAGUACUUUCUUGAAGCACCAUGUUCAUUGAUUUUCUUGGUCUCAAUUAGAUGUCUUAAUGAUUUUCAAUUUGCGUGAUUUUUUGCAAGGAUGAUCUCUGAAUGAAGAUGUGAAAAAUAGAUCGUUUGGAUCGUUGAAAAAAAUUUCGCAGAGAAUCCUACACCCUCAAAAUAAAAUUAUUUGAGAAAUCCCUCAAUAGAAGGGGACUAUAUAAUCUGUGAAAAUUGAAAAACUCCCAAGUCCGAAACAAAGUUUACAACUUUCCAUGGUGUCAGAAUAUGUGGUUUGAGCAGAGCACGGGAUCUUCUCGUGACCUAAUGUGGCAUAUUAAUAGGGUUUUUGCUUGGAUUAAAAUAAUAGCAAUGUGAGACCUCCAAAUCUCAUGGAGGUUUUCUACUUCUAUGAGCAUAGAACAACCCCUGAAUCAUUAGAUUCAUCUAUUGCAAUUUGCUCUAAAAUUUCUAACUGUUUUUAACUGCAUAAAAAACAAGACUUUUUGUGCAGGUAGUCCAUAAAUAGGUAAAGUAAUUCCGGCCAAAUUAAAAGUGUCAUGUGAUUACAACCAAAGAGCCUUUUCGUCAGUUAUUUGGCACAAAGUUUAGAACCUUGUAUCACCACUAUCAGUAAUUAUGAGUAAUUUGAGCACAGCUGGGACAACAAUAAAACAAUGUAUAUUCAAUAAUGCAUCAGUGACAAUUGACUGCUAUGGAUAAUGGGUUUGGUGAAAUAAAAAACUACCAAUAUACUACAUACAACAAUGAUUUUGGGAUUUGAUUAUUUGGAAUUUGAGAGACUUACAUUUAGCAGAAAAUGCACAAGCAUAUGUGCGUUUACCCUAAACAUGUUCAAACCUCAGAGAUAGGCUUUAGAUUGUGUGAAUUGUGAACGUGCCACUAUUAGUGGUGUAAAACCCUAAUAGACUUGAAAGAGAAUUAAGUAACUUGCGCACCAAGAAAACUCACUGAAAUCAAAUAAUUGUGAAUUGAAAUGGUAAACUAAAUCAAAGUUUCUUUUCCAUGCCUCAAGACAAAUGACAACUUUAUAAUUUCUCUAAAACAAUAAGGGUAAUAAACAACAAAUAAACAAGUAAACAAAAGGGAUCCAGAUCAAGGGAUCUUAUUAGAUAAUAAAUUGCCACCACCUUGGAUCACUUCUGAUUGAAUUCAGAGGUUAAGGGUCUAGUGGCAAUAGCAGUAGUAUAUCACAUCACCUUCAAUUGAUGAAGAUCAAUUGGAAAUCGAUACCAGAGACAGAUCUGGCAGAGCAAUUAUCAAGAAAGAUAUAGCAUUUGAGAAGGAAUUAGGGUUUGUACUGAAUUUAUUGUUGAAAAGUUGUGUUUGUUAUCGUGAGCUAUCUAUUCCCUUUUAUAUGAAUUUUGACUUGGUGGAGAGAGAUUACAACCUAUGUCAUGCCAUCAUGAGGAUCAAAUCAUAAUCCAUUGGAAUUAAUUAUUUAGUUGAUUGCCUUAAUCGUCAAGUAAUAUCAUGAUUUCUCCUUGAUUUUCUAGGUAAUUAUCAAUUAAUAGAUAAUUCCCUUUCCCAGCCACUUAAACUGGCCCAAGGAAUCUUAACCGGAUUGCAAUACUAAAAUCCCCCCCAAAUUGGCUUAAAUCUCAUCUGUAUAAAAACUAGGCCUAAACAUUACCCCAUAAGCCCAAUAGACUUGAUUAGAGGGAUUUGGGGUUACAUGCAUGAGCGUGACACCAUGCGUCGUUUUCAUUUCAAUCACUUCAAUCGCGCCAUUUUGACUUCUACUUUAGUCUUUCGAACCUUUCUAUCUUCUUCUCACUACGAAGCCUAGAGAUUCUUAGCGAUUAUCGAUACCUUCAACUUUUCCAAACUUUUGUUACCGAAAGUCUCAAGUUUCACCACCCCCUAACCAAUUCUCGUUUCAGAAACCAUUUCUUUGUCUCAAUGGCCACCUCUGACUCCAACGUCCCAAAGCCUAUCUCUGAAAAAUAUGCUAUUAUAUAUGCAUGCCCAAGACAUUUGUGCAUAAUUGGGUAAAGUUGCUGAUGAUGGUCCAACGCUCGUACAAUUUAACUGAGCGUCCAGACUUCAACACUGGGUCCAUAAAGAACAGUCUACUGCAAAGGUUUGAGUGGAUUGGCGAUCUUCAUGACCAGUAUCCGGAGCUUUGGGAAAAGCAUCGCAUUUACGAUGCCAUUAUGCUUUUUCGUUUUGACACUUCGAGGGGUAUUUGUUCUCAACAUAUGCAGGGGAUCUUUCUCAAGCACAUGAGAAAGUCUACUCAUUAGAUCAUUUUAGUAGCAAUAAUAUUGUAGGGCUUUUUCGUUCUGGCAGCUAUAGAUUAGUCUGGGCUACUGUAAAGAGUAAAUUGGAGAAAACUCCCCAUGUGUCUAAGUUCAAGAAUAAGACCCCAAAAGUGCUUCGAAAGGGUAGCUAAGCCUUAGAAAACACCUUGGUCUUCUUCACCAAUGAAACCAACAGUUGCUUACAAAUAAAUGCUUGGCUUGGCUUGAGAAGCUUGUGGCAUGGAAGCUAAGCAUUCAUGAGUUUAGCAAGAGAGAGAGAGAGAGAGAGAGAGAGAGACCAUAUUUUCUACGAGAAACACAGGUUUAAAGCAAAGGAUUUCAUGAGAAUUUGCUGAGGAGACAAGAUUUUUGGGAGCUCAAAAGUCUUCUUGCAACUGUUCCAGUGGUAACCUCUCAUCUAUGGUUAUCACUUCUCCUUCUUUCCUCCCAUAUUUCAUGGCAAGAGCUGAUAAAGGAAGAAAAUAGAUAGCAACGUUGGUCUGAAGGAUGUCUUUUCUCCUAGCAACCUGCUGGCGCUAAUACCCUUUGGUCAUUUGAAUGGUUUGUCUUGAGGUUUGCACCUGGUCACGUGCUAGAGCCUCACAGCAGCCUACAUAUGUGAGUCAUUCCUUGGCUUUUUGUUGUGGUUUUGUCUCCAACCAUGUGCUGGAGACUUUCAAAUAUUUUUUUUGAUCAUUUGGGCCUUCCUAAGGUAAUGGGUUUGUCUACUAGGGAAUGGGCCAACUUCACAAAGUGAUAGACUACUUUUAUUAAGGUGAUGGGUCAAUUUUCUAAAGUGGUGGGCUCUCUUUUUCUCUCAUUUAUGCUUACCCAGAUAUUUGGACUCAAGAAAUGGGCUCGAGUUUUGGGGCUCCCAAGCAAUCUAAAACUUCAAUUUCUCGGCUCAUCAAUGGGCCUCAUGAAUGCUCGUUACCAUCCAUACUACAACCCACUCAGCAAGCCCCGAACAUUUGCAUGGCUUGGGCCUACUUAAGCUUAUAGCAUGGCUAUGUGUAAUAAUGAUUUUCUGCUUGGCAUUGCAUGUUGAUUGGCGUGCCUGAAUUUUAUCGUCUUUGAAAAGGGAUAUGAUGCUUGACGGGAGAAUUAGCAUGGGCUUGUAGAGCUAGUGCCUUUUAUGGGCUCAUUUCAAUUCUUAGCGUGACGGAUUGCAUAUUUAUUUCGCAUGGCACGUGGAUCGUGGCUCUUGCAAGCAUGCAUGACGAAUUUCGCAUACUCCAAACCGAGUCUCUUCUUAAUUAGGUGUCGCACUGGACCAGGAAUUUAUUUGGACCUCAAGUUACAUACACGAUUUUUUUUUUCUUCACAUGGGUCAUUUUAGUAGUUGUGAUAACUUAAUAGUAUAUCUUCCUAUGUUAAAAUUAUAUACAUGGGAUUUUUCUCAUGCGCGUGAGAGAUUUAGGUCCCAUAUCAUUUUAUUGUGAACUCUUUAUUGAAUAUCCUCCCAUUCGCAAUUUAUGCGCAUUUUCUCAAGCUCAUGAAAGAUUCUGGUGAUUAGAUUACUUAAUGGAACAAUGAACUUAUGAUAACAUUUGUCAUGCAUAUACAUGCGCGCAUGAGAGUAUUGUCAUAGUAUCUAUACAUGCCCCAUUCUUAUCAUCUUCUCUGCUUGAUCUGGAAAUAUUAUCUAUGAUUCGCUAACACGACACGAAUUCACAAGAAAAAAUCAAUAUUUGGGUUUAGCUUGGACUCGUUAGCCACCCAUUAAGCUAAUAGGUCAUAUCAGUAUCAUUCACGAAUAUUCGCUAACGGGUUGUGUUGGUCAUUCACGAAUUUAAACAGGUCAUGUCCGUGUUUGGUAUUUUCCACCCGUUAACUUAACGGGUCGUGUUCAUAUCAACUCGUUAAGAAAGUGGGUCAACACAAACACAACAAUAUAUUUGGUCCAAGUGCUAUGGGUAUAGCAAUGCUGCAUUGAUCCUAAGCUUUUUUAUUUUUUGUUUGGACGGAUGAUGCUAAGCUUAAUGAGUGCAAUAUAUUUUGCUAAAUAUAUAUGAGCUCAAGAAACUCCGAAUUAUGGUGCAGCACCCAACACCUUUAGAACAUUACAAAAGGGACCAACAAAGCUUAACAAGCCUCAUGAAACACUGUGACUGCAAACAAAUCAACUGGGUCAUUUAGGCCCAGUCCCCAAACAAAGUUCUUUCCCUAAUCAUAUUUACGAAUGGAAGUUGAAAGUUGAAGCCACUCAUUUAUUUCACAUGCAAUUUAAUUUGUGCUCUCAUAUUAAUUAUUUAAGCACUAAUUUUAUGCGCAUUUGGUAUUUGAGGUUGAUAAUUUAGUGGUGCUGAUGGACAAGUCUUAACUGUGUGUGUGUUUUGCAGAAGUACAGGCUCAACAGCAGGGGCGCCCAACCAGCAGCUUCUGCCAACAGUUCGCAGAGGGCAGCCCUGUUUUACUACAGGGACAUGUGGAACCCUAGCGCUUCUGAGCAGUCAAACUCUCGGCAGCAGCAGCUCGAAAGUGCAAGGAAUGGUGGAGAUGGCUCUUCAGUUGGUGGCUCUAGCAGAACCAGAAUUGAAAAAAUCAAAGAGUUAGGUUAGAUGAUGUUUAGUUAUGCAUCUGCUGAGAUUUUGCAUAUGUGUAUAUGAGGGCAUGUAUAGCAAAAGAUUAGGAUUCAGGAAAUAAUCAGAACCUGAAAGUUGUUUAUAAUUUCUUCUUUCUUUUUUGGGUCUCAAAAGUUGUUUAAUUUCAUGUUGAAUUGUAGCUGUGAUGCAUUUUUUGUUUUUGUUUUUGCUUUUUGGGUUUCAAUUUCUGCCCAAAUUGGUGCAGUUUAAGUUCUAAAAUUUCCAUUUUCAUGGACUUGUGUUUCCCAAGCAAACUGGUCUAAGAAGAACAAUUCAAUUUUAGCAUGAAGAAGCAAUUUUUUCUUCUUCUUCUCGAAGGGUCUUUUUGAUUGGACAAUGUUGAAAUGCAGCUCCAAAUUCAGCAAUUCAGGUAUAAUUCUACAGAGGGAGUUCAUAAUUAAUGCAAACAGUGGCACAAAAUCUCAGAAUAUAUUGGGAUUUUUUACUAAGUAAAUGAAGUCUGUCAGAUGAUGAGAGAACCAUAGCUUUAUUCCAAGUACAAUAACUUACAUACUCCUUACAAAGUACAAACUUACAAGCCCUACUACAUAUGCUUCUGAUAAUUGCACACCCCAUACAAACUUAACAUGAUUUAUUUAGUUAAUGAUUUCAGUUUAAUAUCAAGGAGAAGUAGUUUGCUUUGAAGAAGCCCGUGGGAUUCCAGGAAUGCGAGAUGUUGGUGGUGAUGGAUUUGGAGGCAAACUUGUUUUUGGAAUUUGUGGUGUUGUGAAGGAAGUAUCUGGGCGAGCUACUUUUUUAUCAUUUAGUUGCCCUGCCUUUCCUAGUCCUGGAAGUCCAGGAAGUCCUGGGAGUCCUGGAAGUCCCGGAAGUCCUGGAAGUCCCGGAAGUCCUGGAAGUCCCGGCAGUCCCGGAAGUCCUGGCAGUCCCGGAAGUCCUAAUAAUUUUUUGUCAGUUAGUUGCCCUCCCUUUGUAUUUUUACCAGUAAAGGGGGUUAAUUGUGGAAUUCCUGGAAGUCCUGGGAGUCCUGGAAGUCCUGUUCCUGGGAGUCCUGGAAGUCCUACUUUUUUAUCAGUUAGUUGCCCUGCCUUCGUAGUUUUACCAGGAAAGGGGGAUGUAACUGGAAUUCCUGGAAAUGAAGAUUUCUGAGAACUGAAUUCCUUGGAGUUUGGAAUGCUUGGUUUUUGGUUACAGAGGCUUGGCUGCUUUAGAGGCUUGAAGGUGAAGAAACCAGCUGAGAAUAUAUAUGUUCCUUGCUCACUUGACUUGAGAUGCAGUGAAGAUGAAGUGGCUGUUGAGGACACAGCACAAUAUGGUUCACUGCUGCUGAUUAAUUUCACAGAACACCCUUCAAUUUUCUUGACACGCUUGCUCACAGAGAAAGGCAAAUGGACUCUGAACACUCCAUGGCUAUCUGUUUUCACUUCUGUCUGGAAACUUGGUUUUGAACUCCCAUCUUUGCAUUCUACACCAACAGAAGCCCCUGCAGAAAAAUAAGUUGAAAUUAAGUUAACUGAACCCAAAAUUCACAAUAUAAAAAGCACUUUUGAUUGAGUUGUAGGAAAUUUGAAAUGAACCUGAAAUGAAGUGGCUGGCAUGUGAGAAUUCGGCUUGGAAACAUGUGUCACAGUAGACAGUGCCUACAACAACUGCAGAUGGGGGCUUCUUCUCAUGGCUAGCUUCUGAGGGAGUAGUCAAUGAGAGAGAACUGAUCAAAAAGAGUAGUGUAAAAAACCAAGACAUGUUAGAGCCUCUAUUGCCUCUGAGCAACUCUAAUAUUCUUGACUCUGAGAAUGAGUUGAUCUAGGCUGCCUUUUAUAUCAAUUGCUGAGGCUUAUAACGAAUAUAAAUACUCUCUACAGUAUUCACUAUACACUUUCUGAAAAAUGAAACUUUUUCUUCAAAUUUUACGACAUGACGCAUUAAGCUUCUUUAUUUCACCCAUGCAAAAAGCCAGUCAACCGCAAACUAGAAGAAGUGAAUGUAGGUUCAUAUCCUACCACCAAACAAUCCAAAAAGAAGGUUAAUAUUGUGAUGGAGAGGUAGAUAAGAAGAAAUAUUUGCUUUGCUGGUUCUUUGUUUACUUACAUUUAUUGAGUUUGUUUCUUUGUUAGUGGUGUUGAGUUGUGGAGAUACAAUUCAACUAGGAAAAGGAUGUGUUUCCUUUUGUUUGGUUUUCUUCUUGGUUUUAGAUUGGCAAAGAGUCACUUUUGGUUCAUGUGGUUUAUCACUUUAUCACUAAAAUCCCUGUGGUUUCAAUUUGAUCACUUUUGCCCGUGUGCUUUCAAUUUGAAACAAUUCAAGGACAAUUCUCAACUUAUGUCAAGUUUUCGUUAACUUCAGAUAUUUGUGGAGGGGCAAUUUGGUCUACAAAUUAUUUAAAAAAUUCAUUCCUUUUAAAAAUAAAAUAUUAAAAACCAAUAAAUAAAUAAAACAAGAAGAACAGCCAAAUACAUAGUAUGGUAACCCAAAUACGCCCUCGAAUACAUGGUGAGCACAGCCAAAGCCCAAGGCAAAAAAUUCACAGCCAACUUGUUCUUUGUGUCCCAGAGUCCAAUCCCUUUAUACGUUAAGAGGGUGAAGUAGAUAUAUAGCAAAGAAGAACAUGUACUGAGAGUGGCUCGAAGGCCAUCCAUGCAAAAUCACACAAGCUCAAGAAACACUGAGUUUCUUUAUUUGGGAAGAAACCUAAAGGCAUGGAACAAAAGGAAUGAGAUGAAGACAACUGUUGAAUUGAUGGCAACUCUAUCCAGGAUGUAUGAGAAGCCAUGUGCGAUGCGACAAUUGUAUUUGAUGAAGUGCUCAUUUAAACUGAAGAUUUGACCGAGUCAUUUGAGAAGAUUUGACCCUUAAAAUUGAUUUUUUUUUGCAUUUAUCUCGAGUUUUAUGUCUCAUUACGACUCAAACAAGCUCGUCAUUACAACUUAAAGGAUCUUAUAGUAAUUGGUUGAUCCUAUUUCAAAAUAAAACUAAGUUAUUUGAUAAGAUUUGACCCCUAAAAUUGAUGCUUAGCAAAGGCAAUUGAAAAAUAGAUAAUUUUUUUUUUGUUAGAAAUAUAUAUAUGUGAAAAUUGAAAAACUCCCAAGCCCAAACAAAGUUUACAACUUUCCAUGGUGUCAGAAUAUAUAUGUUGUUUGAGCAGAGCAUGGCAUCUUCUCAAGACCUAAUGUGGCAUAUUAAUACCCUAAUAAGGGUUUAUUUUAAUUUAAUAUCCCAAAUUUUUACUCUUAAGGCAUGUUUGUUCCUACACUCUUAAUUUUAAUGAUUACAUACCCUAAGCUUUUGAAUUUUGCAAUCUAGUUCCGACAUUAACUUCCCUAUCAAAAUUUUUGUUAAUUGCUUGCAUGGCAAGCGUGGAUCUCACCUAUUCGCUUAUUUCGAUGUCAGUUGAAGAGUGUUUUCGGGUAAUUGGUGUCUUCCCGCCCAUGAAGAACACAUUACAUGCACUAAUACCAAACCAUUUUUGAACAAAUACUGGAAAAUACCCUUCAACUAACAUUCAAAUGAGUGAAUAGGUGGAACCUAGGAUUGCCACGCAAGCAAUUAACGAAAAUUUUGACGGUGAAGUUAACGACGGAUCUAGAUUGCAAAAAAUUGAAAAACUUAGAGUAUGUAAUUGUUAAAAUUGAGAGUGCAUGAGUAAACGUAGCUUUAGGAUAAAAGUUCAGAGUAGUAAAUUGAAAUUAACCAUAUUAAUAAGGCUUGUGUUAAAGUAAUAGCAAUGUGAGACCUCCAAAUCUCAGGGAGGUCUUCUAGUUCUAUGAGGACACUCCCCUGAAUCCAUGAAUAGGUAAAGUAAUUCCGGCCAAAUUAAAGAGUCAUGUGACUGCAACCAAAGAGUCUUUUCCUCAGUUGUUGACAGUCUAGAAAAUUUGCAUCAUCUCAUCAGCAAACAGAUGAACAUUCAAUAAUUCAUCAGUGAAAAUUGGGAGCUAUAAUAAUGCGUUUGGUUCAAAAAGUACCAAUCUACAUAGAACAAUGAUCUUGGGAUUUGAUAUUUGGAAUUUGGAAGACUUAUUUUAGCUGAAAAUGGACAAGCAUACGCAUCCAAUGAUCCAGACCUGAAACAAAAAGAAGCUACAACUUCCAAGUAUUUGAGCGCUUUCCAGCCAACUAAGGAAUCUCUGUACUCUGUACGCUCAUAAGAUAAGACACUCCCAUGUGUUGAUGUUGCAUCCAGAUUCCUUUUGCAGCAAUGUAUAUGUCCUUCCAUCCCAACAGUCUGUUUUUUUUUUUUUUCCUUUCUUUCUUUAAUUCAAUUUUCAACAGUUUUUACUGUCCAGCUGCAUAGCAUCUUGGGUGAAAAAGAGAAAAUAAAAUUAACUUCUACUGACAAAAGAUACACCAGUCACACCACAAAACAAAGGCACAAACUCCAGAUUAAGAUAAUUAGAUCUUGACAGAUUGCCUUCACCAAUUGAUUACCUUGUGACCAAGGCAAUCCCACAAACUUACACCGUUUCAUUCUUUGUCCGUGGGCCACAAUUUUUGACAAAUUUGACAAUCUAAUAAGGUGGUUACUGACGGUUCAAGGUUAUCUUGUGAGGGAAUUGAAAUGUAACACCAAAUUUUCUUUUACGCAGUGCAAGAGAUAAUGCAUGUUAAAAGUUAAAAAAAAAUGAUUGUUUUUUCGAAUUCUAUGAUGUAGGUUUUGCCCUAGGGUUUAGGGUUCCAAAAAACCUGUCAUGUCUACACUUCACGGGCGAGCUUAAGCCUGACGAGUGUCGACAGGACUUUCAUGGCUGCUUGUUGAAUGUUCUAUAGUGGAGUUUGCCAGCUGAUGGAUACCAAUUCCCAAAGCUUGAAACAUAAGAUAACAUUGUUUAUUAGAUUUUAUUUUUAAUAUCUGGUUCAUUAUUAUUGAAACAAUAAUAAUCCUUAGUUUAGAUAGGUAAAUUAUCCCAAACAAGGUUGCCGACUCAAACGUUAAAAUUGUAGCCGAUGAACUAGACUUUAGUUUAGCGUUAGGUGUAUCUCUUGAGUGUGAGGUGGACAUUAAUUUGACCGAACUAAUGAAAUCGACUAAAUCAAACUGUAAUAUUGGUUUGGUUUUAAUUAAGAAAAAGUUAAAUUGUUUAAAAAUCAAACCAGAUCGUGUAUGGUUUGAUUUUGUUUGAUUUUGAACUCUUAUAAACCGACCUAAAUCAAAUCAGACUGUUUAUGUGUAUAUUUAUUUACUUAGAUUUUACAUGUGUAAACUCUAAUUAGAUAAUACCUAUAUAGUUAUUGAAAUUUGAAGUUUUAUGUCAUCUGUCCAUCAAGUACUUUCUUUCUCCAUAUGAGCGUUAUGAUUACAUAUGAAUUGAGUUAUAUUAGUUAUUAAAAUUUGAAGUUUUAUGGCAUUGAAAUUCCCAAAUGGAUAUGCCAAGCUUGAAACAUAAGAUAACAUUGUUUAUUAGAUUUUAUCUUUGAUGUCUAGUCCAUUAUUAUUGAAACAAUAAUAAUCCUUUGUUUAGAUAUGUAAACUAUCCCAAACAAGGUUGCUGACUCAAUCGUUAAGAUUGUAGCCGAUGAACUAGACUUUGGUUUAGUGUUAGGUGUAUCCAUUGAGGUAAGGUGAGCAUCAAUCCAGCCGAACUGAUAAAACCGACUGAAUCAAACUGUAAUUAGCCAUUUGGUUUUGUUUUGAUCAAGAAAAAGUUAAAUGAAAUCAAACCGAAUCGUAUAUGGUUUGUUUGGUUUUGUUUUGAACUUUUGUAAACUGACAUAAACCAAACCGAGCUGUUUAUGUGUAUAUUUAUUUACUUAUAUUUUACAUGUGUAAUACUCUAAUUAGGUAAUACCUAUAGUUAUUGAAAUUUGUUGUAUUAGUUAUUGAAAUGUGAAGUUUUAUGUCAUCUGUCCAUCAAGUACUUUCUUUCUCCAUAUGAGCAUUAUGAUUACAUGUGAAUUGAGUUAUAUUAGUUAUUAAAAUUCGAAAUUUUGAUGGCAUUGAAAUUCCCAAAUGGAUAUGCCAAGCUUGAAACAUAAGAUAACAUUGUUUAUUAGAUUUUAUCUUUGAUGUCUGGUCCAUUAUUAUAGAAACAAUAAUAAUCCAUAGUUUAGAUAUGUAAACUAUCUCAAACAAGGUUGCUGACUCAAUCGUUAAGAUUGUAGCCGAUGAACUAGACUUUGGUUUAGUGUUAGGUGUAUCUAUUGAGGUAAGGUGAGCAUCAAUCCAGCCGAACUGAUAAAACCGACUGAAUCAAACUGUAAUUAGCCAUUUUGUUUUGUUUUGAUCAAGAAAAAGUUAAAUGAAAUCAAACCGAAUCGUAUAUGGUUUGAUUUGGUUUUGUUUUGAACUUUUGUAAACUGACAUAAACCAAAUUGAGCUGUUUAUGUGUAUAUUUAUUUACUUAUAUUUUACAUGUGUAAUACUCUAAUUAGGUGAUACCUAUAGUUAUUGAAAUUUGUUAUAUUAGUUAUUGAAAUUUGAAGUUUUAUGUCAUCUGUCCAUCAAGUACUUUAUUUCUCCGUAUGAGCAUUAUGAUUACAUGUGAAUUGAGCUAUAUUAGUUAUUAAAAUUCGAAAUUUUAUGGCAUUGAAAUUCCCAAAUGGAUAUGCCAAGCUUGAAACAUAAGAUAACAUUGUUUAUUAGAUUUUAUCUUUGACGUCUGGUCCAUUAUUAUUGAAACAAUAAUAACCAAUAGUUUAGAUAGGUAAACUAUCCCAAACAAGGAUGCCGACUCAAACGUUAAGAUUAUAGCUGAUGAACUAGACUUUGGUUUAGUGUUUGGUGUAUUCAUUGACUGUAGGUGUGCAUCAGUCCUGCCGAACUAAUAAAACCAAUUGAAUCAAAUUGUAAUUAUCAGUUUAGUGUGUUUUUCAUUAAGAAAAAAGUAAUUUUAAAAAAAUCAAACCGGAUCAUAUAUGGUUUGAUUUGGUUUGGUUUCGAACUUUUGUAAACCAACUUAAACCAAACCAAACUGUUUAUUUGUAUUUUUAUUUACUUAUAUUUUACAUGUGUAAUACUCUAAUUAGGUAAUACCUAUAUAGUUAUUGAAAUUUGUUAUAUUAGUUAUUAAAAUUUGAAGUUUUAUGUCAUAUAUCCAUCAAGUACUUUCUUUCUCCAUAUUAGCAAUAUGAUUACAUGUGAAUUGAGUUAUAUUAGUUAUUGAAGUUUGAAGUUUUAUGGCAUGUUGAGCUUUAGGACGGUUUCGUACUCUAGAAAAUGAUUUAAAUAUGGAGCAAGUUGUGAAUUUAUUGGCUGUAAUUGGACUAACAAUAUUGAAAAAAUGCAAAAAAAAAAAGAGAUUUGGGCUUAGGCCCAAACUGGCCGAACCGUCUUAAAUUGGUUUGGAUUGAUUUAAUUUUCUUCAUGACUUUUGUCAAAAUCAAACCAAAACAAACCAUUAUAUUGUAAUUGGUUCAGUCGUGAUUUUGAGGUGAAACCGAUUUAAUCCAGAUCGUGCCCACCUUAAGUGUAAAGUCUCAUACGUGACUUACAUAAACACGAGGAUGAUAUAUAUUUGUGAUGAGUGCAUAGCUUCGUUGUGGGUAAAUUACCUGUCGUAAAAGUAUAUUUGUAAACAACAUUUUUAUUACACCCCAUUCAUGCAGGAAACAUUUUGAUCACAUUGAAUGUAUAAUGUACAUCAGCAAUUUUCAUAUAAUGUAAUCAUCAGCAUGUGAUAUUUCUGUUUGUUCUUCCAUCUGAUCUGAGUUUGUAUUUAUUCUAGUCUGCAUGCUCAUAUGGAGAAAGAAAGUACUUGAUGAGUCAUCUGUCCAUGCAAUUAUUGGUUUCUUGACCAGCAUAAUAAUAGUACCAAACAAUAGAUUAAACCCAACUGCAAGUUUGUAUAUUGCACUGGAGUGGCACCAUUUGCAGAACAAAACAAUGUGAUACAGCGCAAAAUAUAUUGAGAGAUCAGUUGCAAAUUCGAAGAAACAAUGCAAAAUAAUCACAAGCACCAUCUGCAUAUGCAUCUGUAUGAAAAAAGAAAAGAAAAAAAGAAAAAAAAAAGAACAGAAAGAACCAUCAACGAUGCUCGUCAUCAAGCUGCCCUUUCAUUCAAUAAGACCAAGUCACAUUCGGACUACAAAUGAAAUCUCUACAGUUCAAAUCACUCUUCCAUUUUCGGGGAUCAAUCAAUCCUCGAGGGAAUACCCACCAAAAAACCAAGCUACAAAGUUUAUGAUACAACACAUCCUUGCUAUUCUGUACAAAAAGUUAUUUGGAAAAGUUAAAAAAAUCUGGUCUUCCGGUAUAACAAACUUAAAAGCAACUAAAAUCAGGACCAGAUCCUUCCUGCCUGGCUACCCUCCUCUCUUCUCUUCUCCUCAAACCGUAAUAUAGAAGUGAUAUCCUCAGUAUAUGCUUCCAUUUGCUAACUGUACCCCGUACACGUAUUGCCUGCCGGUUAUGUUGGUUAUUUAUAUGGUCAUUGAAAUGGCAAAUGACAUGGGAAAACCAGGGAGAUCCCAAGAAAAUCUUGCUUCCCGAGUACUCGAAUAAUAUUCACAAGUGCUCUUGAUCAUAAAAUGCAAGGAGCUGCUUCACAUGAUUAUGCCAAGCAGCAACAUUUAAUCCAUCAACUAGGACCCAGUCAACAACAGUUGCUGCUGGUUGCUCCCACCAUUCAUCAAGCUGCAGAAACAUAUUGCAGUUCAGACAAUUAAAGAGUGCAAAGGCAAAACAAAACUAUUAAGAAUUUAUACAGCUAAAGUAGAAAGAUGAUGGUGGUCACUCACCAAUCCCCUAACAUAGUUGCAAUCCUCCAAGCACUUCUGAGCACUCAAAAUUGCAACCUUAAGUUCGGGCAACCAUUUCUCCAUGACAGUUUUCUCUUGCUCCGCAGCCAAAUUUAAGCAAUAACUUGUUGUCCUGCAAGGAGUAAAUAAAAAUUAAGAAAAGCACAUUCAUUACGAACAUUAACAUUUAAAAACAGAAAGUAGCAGAGCUAUGAGAGGCUUGAGUAUUGGCAGGAGAUUAGAAGAAAGAAAAAAAAAUGUAAAUGUAUUUAGAAUUUGGAUGAAAAAAAAAAAUUCAUAACAUCUAACAAAACAUAUGAAUCUCAAAAGAAAAAAGAAAAAAUCGCUCCAAUAGAAAGGCAUGGUUCUGUAGUCAAAGAAACUUUGUCAGUUACCCAUCGGACACAGAUAUUGGAAUUUUCCUCAUCUCUUGCUCAAAAUGGAAUUCCAGUUCAUAUUGUUUGACUAGGGUCUACUUACUGAAACUUUGGAGUUUGGAGGAUUACAUAAUCUAGAUUCCUGUUAAAACAAGGCCAAGAGAGGUUAUACCUUUCAUAUUCUUGUUGAGCUCUAUACGCAUGGUUCAACAACACAUGACCACUUUCAACAAGAUCCUGCCGUGUAUGGACCAAAUUGAUUGCCUUUGCUAAGUCCUCCAACACACUAGCCUCAGAACCACGAAGUUUCAAGCAGAACUCCAGGGACUCUAGGAUUGAUGCUAAAGCAGUAUCUGAACCCUCCAAACCUGUUCAUGUUAAAUAAGAUAUAAAAAAAGAAUUGAAAACACCCAUUAAGCGGGCACAAAAUGGCAUCCACAUAAUCCAAAAGUAAACAAUGAGAUAAUUAAAAAUACCAUAUGAAAAAAAACGCAUAUGGGAGCAUUUGUUAAACUCAAGCUAGACAAACUUGAAAUUAUGAAGCAAAUGUAGAAAGACAAACCGAUAGCUUUACAUUAUGGAGUUACAAGUGACAUGUAUGGAUAAUGAGAGAGCACAAUUUCAUGAUUCAUUAGACGCCAAUUUAAUUAGAGUUCUAUUUUCAUUCUCAAACCCAAACUCCUUCAUACCAGGAAAGAGUGGCUACAAAAGAUGAUUUCUUAUCAUGACACGCUAUUUCACCCACCACAGGGAAGAGAGAUCAAUUUUCAGUGUCCUACUUGGGAUUAAAAUUAAACAGAACAAAAAUCUUCCAGGCCAUCAUGUAACAGCAUCUCCACCCCAGCAGAAAAUCUAACCCUUCGGUGGACUUGUCCAAUUAAUUGCUAUACUGACGUUUUUUGUUUUUCUUGUAAGUGUAAUUGACAAACCAUUACAUACACAACUAAAAAAUGAAGGCAAAAGAGAUCUUCUGUUGCCAAUAGAGAGAAGCUUUCUGGCAGAAACUGGCCAGAUGGAGAGGAUCUAGUUCUCCCAAAACCAAGCCUCAAAUGGAGGCAGUGGCAUCUAAUCUUACACAUGCUUCUAAUGUUGUACCAGAUGACCGAAGACUCACCAGCAGGAUACUGAAGGGCAGCAGAUAUUCGACAUAUGGACGGUAUUGCUGAUGGAUCCCUGGCACCUGCUUUUGCAGUUAAUAUAGCAGCAUUCUUUUCUGCAGCUGCAACAGCUUCAGGUCCAGUAGACCCACUUGCACCCAUGGACUCCAGUAGUGCCUGAUAAAAAAUUCAUUAACAGUUAUAUACACAGAAGAAUGCAAAUGGGAUAACAAAAUCAAGGGUGGGAGUGCACUGAGGAUAAUUAAAUCAAGGGUACUUAGGUAGCUCCCCAGUGAAAGCAGUAUUUCCCUGGUGGUCUAAUCCUACUUUACCACCAGACUAGUCCAGUUCUGCUCAACAUAAAGCACCUCUUAAUUUGUUUUCCUUUAUGAGUAUACAAUUCGAAAUAUAGUGUAGGUUUAUUUUUACUUCUUUUUACUUCAUUAACAGUUAUAUACACAGAAGAGUGCAAAUGGGAUAACAAAAUCAAGGGUGGGAGUGCACUGAGGAUAAUUAAAUCAAGGGUACUUAGGUAGCUCCCCAGUGAAAGCAGUAUUUCCCUGGUGGUCUAAUCCUACUUUACCACCAGACUAGUCCAGUUCUGCUCAACAUAAAGCACCUCUUAAUUUGUUUUCCUUUAUGAGUAUACAAUUCGAAAUAUAGUGUAGGUUUCUUUUUACUUCUUUUGGGGCAAGCCCAAGCUUGACAUUCAAACUUCAAGAUCUCUCUCUCUCUCUCUCUCUCUCUCUCUCUCUCUCUCCAUUAUGUUCCAACGCCUUUCCCCACCAUACACAGUGUCCAGAAAACAGAUCCAGAAGGCGAACAUGAAAAGAUAUAAUGUAUUUUCAAGCCAAAGAACAUUCAAAAAAACUUCUGAAUAACCGAGACCUUAAACAUAUUACAGCAGUCAUAUAUGUUGAAUAUCAUAGUCAAAUUAACUAAUUAAAACUUGAUAAUGGAAAGAAACAGAUUUAUUAACUUUUACUUCUUUUUUUUUUAGAACCAAACAUAUUGAUCAGUAGAACGAUCAAUAACCAAGAAUAUUUAAUAACGAUAAAGCCACAAAUUGUAGUAGACAAACCUGUGGAGUUGCUGGAAGCAUGUAGAGGCUAUUAUCAGGACUUUGAUCAAAAGCAGAAACUUCUCUUUCAAUAAGAUCUUUUGCACUAUUUGAAAGAUCCAUAACUAUUGUGCAUGCUGGAAUAAUAGUGGUUGAUGCAUACUCCCGUGCGGCUAAUGGCUGCUGAUUCCAGAACGCAGCGGCAUCCUGCCAAGUUUACAAUAUAAUAUUAGAAAGUAUCUAUGACAAAAGGUGAUGGAGAAGUAGUAUCCUAGCUGCCUUUAUUGAAGUAUAUAUGAAUACCAACUGAAAACUAUGCCACUGGUGAUAUCAUUUGUGUAUCAGUUCCAAGGAAAUUGAAGUGCCUCAUGGUGAGCUAAAAGCCCAGACCUAUAGGCAUAAAUAGGAUCUUUGGGCAUCAUGAUAAAUAUGGCACAAAAGUGGGUACUGAAAUUUUAUUAAAUAAAAAAAAAGUCCAUCAACUCGUUGGGGUGACAUAAAAAAAUUUCUUCGAUAUUUUAUAUGAUAUAUAUGAACUUUCAUAUGGAACUCAAAACAGAAUGAGCCGACAAUUUCAUGGAAUGACCAGAAAUGGACAAUACAGUACCAUUAUAUGAAGUGACUUGCAGUUUUACAGGCAUUAAUGAAGCUGAGAUAGCUUACCAUGUUUACUUUUAGUAGAGCACUGUAUAUGAUUUCAAGUUCCGAUCUGCGGGAAUCAAAUUCUUCAAUCUUUUUCCACUUCUUUUUCAAUGAAUCUUCAGCUUCUUUCCUUUCUGCACAUAAUUUAUUUAAGCGUUGUAUUUCAGACAUCAGCGUAUUCAAGCUAGCCCUCAAGCCAGCAACUUCUCUUUCCUUGGUCCAAACCUCCAGCUACAAAAAUAAUAGGGAAAAAUGGUAAAAACAACACACCAAAUGAUAAUUAACUACAUACCAGAAAUAAGCUACCAUAGAGUACCCAAAUGACUUUUUAUGACAUUCAAAUCAACAAGGAUCAAAAUACUGAAACUAAUCACACCUCUCAUCAUUGGCACUAUUUGCACCUAAAGUAUUGCUAAUUUAGCCAUUUAAUAUCCAAGAAAGAUUUACCUCAAGUUGCCUAAGACUGCCCACAUUUUGUGAUGUGCCUGAAGAAACUGCGUCACUAUUUCCAUGCAAGCGUUUUAUAAGUUUUUGACACAGAUCCCUAGCUUCUGCAGCUUUGUUCAGUGCAUCUUCAGUAGCCAAAAAUUGCUGAACAUGUGCUUUCUGUGAACAACAUAUGCAAAAUAACAAUUUUAAACUCCUGAAACAAUGCAUGAUUCGUAAGACAAAACAAAAGCAGAAAAUGUAAGGUGAAAAUAGAACCCAACUAUGAUUUCGUUUAUUGACCAAAAAAUCUAUGCUUCAGUAUAAAAAAAGAAUGGUCUUAAUGGAAUUAGGGUUUCGGCGGACUAUUCUUUAUAGGGGAAAACACAUUAAAGAAAAAGUAAGAGUAAUGUAUAUCCAUGUAGUGAAAAAAUGAGAAUAUUAAGAUGAAUGGCAUAAGUGACUAGAUCAUAAUUAAAAAUCAAUGUCAAGGCUACUAUCUAGAAAAGAACAUAACCUGUCGUUCAAGAAGUUGAGUUCCUCUAGAAGGUGCAUCAACUCCUAUCUUUCCAUUACCAUAAAGUUGAUAGUGUAACGGUGAACUCACAUCAGGAGAAGAAACAUCGAUAACUCGGUUGUUCUCAUACUUGUACCUGAUUAAGGAAUUGAAGAAACGUGAAUCAAGGAUAUGGAGAAGAUAUGAGAAUUCAAAUACAAGAAUGAUCAAAUUUGAAAAUACAGCAUGCAAUUAUUAUUUAAUCAAGCACUGCAACUAUUCCUGAUAAGAGAGGGAGGGGAGACCAUAUUAUCCACAAGUAUUGACUCAGGAAAUAUUAAAUUAAAAAACCAAGAAGGAAUAUCGUAGUUGAAUAGCCUUGCCUGUAGAAGCUUAGGGAAACAUUGACAGCACAUAAGAAAUGUGAAGGACAAAAUGAAAUAAGCUUUAUGUCCCCAACAGAAGUGACAAGAAAGUGUUUACCUUAAAGUUUCUGCAUCAGCUCUAACAUCAAUUUUCUCUAUUUCUCUGGAAAUUAGAGAUUUCAACCGUGACGUGUAUGAAGUAAUUGCCUGAAGCAAUUGAGGAGGACUCUUUAACCCAUUCACAAUCGCAGCUCUAACCUCAUCAGGUAAUUCCCCAUCAAAAUCAAAGCCUAACUUGGCUGUUUCUAAUUGAGGAUUCAAAUGAACACCACUUCCUUCAUAUGCAGGAAAAGAAUUGCGAAUCUUUUCAAUCAUAUGUGCUGCAAGAGAUUCACAGGCCUUCCGGAUGUUUCUUUCCCGAGUGGUUUCAAUAAGAAGUACAUCAUCUGCUGCUUUACUGCCCUUAAGAGUUGAAUAAACAGCUUCCUUUUCACUGCUUGAACUAAAGCUGUUAACCAAUUCAAGAGAUGAAUCAACACCUGACCUUUGAGCAUCCCUUGCUUGAUUAACAUAAUAACGAAGACGUUUAUGAUACUCUGCAAAUAUCUUUUCCGCUUCAUCACACUGUUGAUAGUAAGCAUCCAACAUUACCUGCUUAUGCCUGCAUUAUGAUCAAGCAUAUAUCAAUAGAGUCCACCUUGAAUGACUCGGAACAAGUGUUAGUCUCAUCAGAACAUGCUUCACAUCAUUUUUAGCUUAUGAAACUAUUCUCAAACAAACCUUGCAAAGAGGAAUAACAUAGCGCCGACACUCUAAACCAGUCAUAUAGUUCAUGUCUUUCUGAUAACGAUGUUGAUCACAUAUAAGAAUUUUGCAAACUUUCUUUCAGAAUUUCAGAAAGAAAACAAAACAAGUUUUCAACUGAAUUAAAUUAUAUACUCAGGAUUAUGCCAAUGAUCCACAAAAGCCCAAACCUUUUUUUAGAGCGUUCAUCAAGCAUCCUCUUCCGUUCGGCCUCUGCCCUUGAAACCUCCAACAUUCUGGCCUUCAAAUCCUUCCUUUGUCUCUUCACAAUGUUCCUCAACUUCUCCACUUCCUUUGACGCCAAGUCCCUCUCUUGCAGCGCAGCCUCCCUAGUCUCUGCCGCACUCGAACCCUCCCCAAGCUUCUCCUUUCUCCUACCUCCUUUACUCCUUACGCCCUCCUCCUUCCCCGAUUUUACCAAUGCACCACUAUCGCCGCCACCGCUGCCGCCGCCAUGAACAGUUAUAUUCCUCCGGAUAUUCUUCACCGUAUUCUCCGACUUCACGCGGGUAAUCAAGAAAUUCCAAAUGGGUAUCAUAUUCCCCCGGCAAAUCUUCCUCAGCGAGUCGAUUGAGGGCAAUUGAGAUUUGCUAGCAGCACUGUACGGACCCAAGGGCCGGUACCCCAUUUCCUUCUGAAGCCAUUGCAAUAUGGCUUCCGGCUGAGCCACAGAGCUCUGCGACGAGCCCUGCAUUCUUUUAGGCUUUUAGGUCUCUUCAGAAAAAGAAGAGUUUUGGGAACUAAAUCACCAUCCUGCGGUGAAUAAUAAAAACCCUAAUUUCUGCACACUAACGGACUGAGAUUGGAGCUCAAACUACUUCAAAAGCCUAACACUGACACUGAGGUCUGCUCCGAGUGUGAGAAUUUAGGGUUUCGAAUUGCGAAAAUUGGAGAGGAACAACUAGAUCUGAGGGGUCGCCGGCGAAGAAAUAUAUUCAAAUUGAGAAAUGCAAUGCAAAGUAAUACAACGGUAAUUUGACCUUAAGAGGCAAGCAAGGCAACGAGAAAAAGUCUGUCGUUUAUUCAAAUCGGCACUACAAUUUAUUAACCGGUUUAAUGCUUCAAAACGACAUGCGGUGAUGUGUGAAGUUUUUGGUCAUAGAUUAAUUAAGCUGGGACACUUAACCAAAAAUAUUAAAAAAUAAAUGUUUGGUGUUUGGUGUUUGGUGCUUGUCAGGGGUAGUUUUGUGUUUGUCCAUUUCUAUUUCCUGUGAAUAUUUCUGGUUGAAACUAUCAUUUGUAUAAUUAUGAACUUUGAAGCAAUAUGACCAAUUUUGCAGUGGGUUUGUUGUAUGAAACAUAAAUUAAAGAUUUCGUAAUAACUUGUAGCUCAAGCGAUUAAAAUUAAUUUUUAAUUUACACUUCAUUUAAUAUCUUUUGCACGAAAAUUUUAUAUUUUUUUCUUCCUUUUAAGCUCUGUCGGCAGCAUACUAAUUGUAGGAAGAAUGCCAUACAAGGCCGACGUGAGAAGCAAGUCUGAUCUUUUAUAGACCAUCACAAUAGUUUCCACUAUGGUCAUCAAGAACUAUUGCCCCAACCCUACUAAAAAGGGAAAUUGCCAAAAUUGGCACUGUAGCAUUCUUCAUACCAUUGUCGUUUUUGUUGGUUUUCAAUGAGUUUUUAUAUUUAUUUUUGUCAAAAUUAAGAAAGAGAGAGAGAAACUCACACACACCGUUAUUAUGGAAGUUGUUAUAUUUAUUUUUAUACAAGAAAUAUUGAAUGAAUAAAACUAAACACAAGAUUUACCACAACUAAUAAAAAUGAUGAUUUGAUAUCUCAGGUUUGAAUCCUCAUGACAUCAUAAUUGUGUGUGUGUGAGAAAUCCCCUUCCUCCUAGACUUUUUUAAAAGAAAGUGAUCGAAUUGCAUUCAAGUAGAAUAAUGAAUUAUACGGCAUAUGCAUGCCUAAGGUAGCCUCAUUAAAACCUUCUCAGGAAAAACCCCAAAGGACAAAACUCCGGAAUAAAAAAGAGUACCACACAUACCAAAGAUAUAGCAAAACCACAAGAUCAAAUAGAAUCCUGAAUAAGAGUAUCAAGGAGCCAAAAAAGAGGAGACUCCAUCCAGCUAAACGGUCAGCCACACUAUUCGCCUCUCGAAAAACAUGCACAACACAGACAAGUACAUUAUCAUGCAAAAGCAGUUUACAGUCUUCGAUCAAGCAACCAAGGGAGGAGAGAUCCACAUCACGAUAGAGAACAGAAAGAACCAUCCCUUGUGCGUCGCUCUCAAGACCAAGAAAAAAAAUAUAUAUGAUAAUUGUACUAAGAACCCUCCCUCUAAUUUAGACUAUGACUUGUACUAAAAAAAGUUUAUAUAUGAUAAUAGUAUCAUUAAGAAUUUCUUUUUAAAAAUAUAGAAUUAUUAACAUCCUUAAUUAAGGUUUGUCCAAUAAAAAACCAACAUCAAUAUAGAAUUUAUAUUUUAUAUUUUGUUGGGGAUUGGGUUGCGACAUCAUCUUUCUCUUCUUUUUUUUUGGUCGAGGUUGCGACAUCAUCAUUAAAGUUAAAUUCGAUUGUUUAUGGAAUUAAAAUAGGAUAGAUUCUUCCACCCACUGUCAGGAGAAAGAUUAAGGUGUGACUUUAAAAUUCCGCGCAUUCAUAGCUUUUAUCACCGCAAAAUCCAAGAGCUAAUUUGCAAAUUCGAAAUCCCCCAUAUUUAGUAUCCGAUUUUCGAAGCAUAUAUUUAUUCAAACAUCCAAUCCAAAAUUCUACUCAGUUUCCGAUUCCUCGGCGUCCCUGUCUUUGUCCACCCACCAAGAUCAAUCUCUAUCUCUCUCUCCUUCCAGUUUUGUCCCACCUAUCUCAGGUACUUUUUCUUUUCUUUCUCUUUCUUAUGUGAUUGUUUAAAUUAUUGGUCUUUUGCAGUAUUUUGAAUCUUCUGAUUGCAUCAGAAUUGAAUUGAUAUCUGCAAAGGGGUUAGAUUUUAUUUAUUUGUUUUUGCUGAUGAUGGUUUUUAUUCUUUGAACAUUCUGGUUGUAGCAAAAUUUGAUAUUUGCAACAGGGUUUUGUUUUGUGAACCUUCUGAUGAUCCAAAAUUUGAUAUAUUCAAAAGGGUCUGUUUUAUUACAUUGAUUUAUGUGUUUUUCUAGAUUGAUCUAUUACUUUUGAUCUUUAAAAUUGGGAUAAUUGCAUGUUUUCCUUUCCCUAUUCUGUUAUUUUAUUUUCUGGAAAUUUUGAAUGGACUGACUUGACCUUCAAUCUCUGGGCAGCUUGUCAACAAAGUAGCAUAUUACGAUAACCACCUGUAAUUUCUAUGGAUUUUAUGCUGGUUGAUAUGCCUUUCUUCCUCACCACCAUUCGGGAGGAAGGGCGAGAAUAAGGGGAAAUUUAAAUUUACUGGCUUUUAUAACAGAUGAGGGGAAAUUGUAUCUUAAAACAUCCCUGUUGUGAAACUUCAUAAUCACAACUAUUUUCUCAAAUUUUUCAUGUUUCUCCGAAUAUUUUGAAGACAUAUUCAACUCCAUAGGAGUCAUGGUAUUACAGCUGCAACUAGUGAGGUGCCUGCAUAUUUCCCAGGGAGUAUGACAAUGAUAAAUUGAAUCGCUUCAAAACUAUGAUCUCUCUGUACCAUUAAAGUAGUUGACACGCAUUGCAUGUGUGCAUGUGUUUUCUGCUUUAGUUCUAGUAGAUCUGUUUAGAGGACAACUCUCUUGAGUAUUAGCCUUUUCCCUUGUCAAUAUUGUUGUUUGAAACUUACACAUGACUGUCUUCUAUUUCACAGGUGAAGAAUAUAACCCUAAGUUAUAUCAGAGCCACAAAGGCGUCCAACAUUGUUAGAUAAAAGAGGGAGGGUACUGGUCCGCGGAGGCAGUGGGACUUCUGCGAGCUUUGUGUCCUCUCUCGUACUUGUCAAAGUACAAUAAUUGCUCCUAGAGAUCUUUUGCUUAAUGCACAAGUGGAGCUUGAUUGGUUUCGGCUGAUGAGAGUGGGGAACUGUUGUGGAGGUUUAUUUUUAAGCUGACGUAAUGGGUUCUGUUUGUUGUUGUUUGAAUGCUGAGGAUUUUGAAGACUAUGUGAAUCCAAACAGUUCUGCAUAUAGGAACUGUAUCUGUCUUAGUUGCUUUAUUGAGAACUUUCUAAAUGUGGUAUGCCUUCAUCAUCCUUGCUACUGAACUAGUUAAUUUUUUUAUGCAUUACUAUUAGUUGUUAUGAUGUGGGACAUAAUUCUAUGUUUCCUGUUUGGUAGAUGAUCUUGAUGUUCUGCUUCUCUUGUCACACUGUCAAGCUGAUUGCUUUUAUGUAUGAAAUUGAAUUUUCUUUUCAACCUCAUUACCAAUAUCUUAUGGAACUGUAUGCCAAAGAGCAUUAUUAUUGGUAAUUUUGCUGGAGACAGUGCUGCUUUUGUGCCCUCACUGAUCUGCUAUUGUCUUGUAAGUCUUCACUGAGAGCAUCUUAUAUAGAUUGUGAGACAAUGAGAGAGAAGAAUUUCUUGUUUUUUUUGAUUUUAAGAGAAGAGUUUUCAUUAUUAAGCUUGACUGUUAGAACUUUAAAAAGUGUUUGCAUGAUUGGGGUUUGUGUGUGGGCACUUAUGAGUCUUCCUUUAAAGGUUAGUGAUUUGGUUAUAUUCUUCUGGAAAGCAAAGGUUUAUGCAGUUGCUUUGAGUAAGAGAUUUGGCCUGUAAAACAGUUCAGCAAGAGAUUGAGUUAAUUCCAUAAAUUACAAUUUUAAUAUUAAUCGUGAAAACUUAAACUUUACGAUGGAAGAAUAACCCUUUAUCUUCUCGUAUUUUGUAGUAUACAUCAUUAUUCAGAAGAGGAGAAGUGCAUUCAAUCCCAUCAUCCAUUCAGGGGGCUGCAUCAAUGACGUCCUCAGCAUCACUAGACAACUCUAUAUCUGACAUGUAUCGUUCUCCUCCAAGGCCCUUGCCUUAUGAUGCUGACCCCAGAUACAUCCGCUUGCAACGGGAUGGGUUGAUUUCUAGGCGUGAGAAAGGCUCAAGUCAUUCUCAUGAGGAGGCCGAACCUCUAAGAAGUGAUACUGAUGCAGAUUCUGAAUGUUUGAGUACAGGAGAAAAAUGGAAUGGGUCUGCUUGUGAAGAUGGAGUAAAAGAACAUCGUUCCAAGUCCUCAAUGAAGUUCUCAUCAGCAAAAGCUACAACCAUAGUUGGGAACUUUUAUAUAUCAUCAGAAGACGAGGAUGUCUGUCCAACAUGUCUUGAAGGUAUUUUUAUUUGGGUUUUUUUUAUUGGUGUUUCUUCUUCUUUCUCACCUUGUGCGUCUGAUGGUCAUUUCCACUUCAUACUACUUAACAUGAAUGAUGACCCAGUCCUGUUUUCAUUCUGUUAAUUGCAAAUGUUUGUUUGCUGAAUUGAAUCAACUGUCCUGUUCAUGUUAUCUUUGCUUUGCUCCCCCAAAAAUAUUGUGCCCCUUCAGUAAACUGGACCUGAAGCUAGAAGGGAAGGGUCGGGUAGUGAGAUGCAGCAUUCACGCCAAAUGCUAGCUUUGUUAGGAAAUAAGACUUGAACACUUACGUCAAUUUGUAACGUUUGUGGCAACUUUGAUUGGUUUAUGAUUCUGAAAAUGUACCCUGAUGGUUUAUAACGUCUGAAAUAUGAAUUCUCAUGUUUUUUUCGUUGCCCUUGUGUGCAGAAUAUACUCCAGAAAAUCCCAAAAUAAUGACAAAAUGCUCUCAUCAUUUUCACCUUGGUUGUAUAUAUGAGUGGAUGGAGAGAAGUGAAAGCUGCCCUGUUUGUGGCAAGGUAACAAUAAUUCUCUUACUUUUUAUGUUUUCUUAGUUAAUAUUUCGUUUAUAGUGAUGAUAAUCUUUAGGUAGGCUCAGCUUUUAGUUUUAUGUCCCAAUAUUUCUGAAAUUUUAGAUUAGUGUUAUUUUGUUAUUAUUAUUAUUAGAAUAGUUCUUCCUUUGUCUUUACUAUAGUCCUAUACAUGUUUGGUAUUUUACAACUAAUGGAUUGAUAAUUUUUCUGAUCUACAUUCAAGUGAAGAUUAGUUUAAUUUAAAGCAAGACUCUUUUUUACUGCAAUGUGGAUUUUGACUCUGGAUUUUAUUUGUUUGGCUUUUGUAGGUGAUGGUAUUCGAUGAAACGACUUAAUCACGAUUGAAAGGUUUGUGUCGUUGAUGAAGCCAACAACAGCUGAAGAGAGAGCAUACUAAAGAAGUGAUGCCAUUGUGAAUACCACAUGUCAAAAAGUGUCAUUGAUCAUAGUACAUAUAAACUUCGUUUCUGAUGACCAUUGUUGUAAGUUCAUUUUAUUCCAUAUAAUUUUUCUAUGAAAAGAAAUUUAUGUGGUAGUUCUUGCCUUGCUAUGUUCUCUGAACAGUAAUUGCCUUUUGUGAUGUAGAAAAGUGAUUUAUAGUUAAUUUUUCACUUCCCUCAGAACCCAUCAAACUCUCACACCUCUCAUCUCUUCUUUGCACAUUCUCUCCCUUCAUGGUCUCUCUUAAACACCAGUCUUCAUCUUUCCAUUCAACAAAGAUUUGCUAUAAGCCCAACUUUUACAACGUUAUAAAUCUCGUAUUAGAAAGGAAAGACUGAACAACAUUGUCCUAAUUAUUUGUCUCAAUAACACAAGGAUUGAGAUAUGUCUGCGUAUUUGCCCAUACAAUAUAUGUAAAAGCAGGAUAAAAAGUUAUACACAUUAGGAUAGUUGUAUCGAGAUGAAUGUUCUCUUGCCGGAUAUCUAAUAUGUCACUAGACCGUGAAUCAAGAUCGCAUAUUCAAAUAUGAUCUCACUUAAUCAAUGAUUCCGAUUACGCUCUAAUAACACAACAUACAAAAUUGUUUAACAAAAGGAAAUUACUCAGCAUUUAAAACAUAUUUCCAAGGUUUGCAUUCUUAUUGGAGCUAGAGAGUGAAUGCUGAUGUGAAGUAUCAUUUUGUAGCUGCUUCAAAAGCAGCUAGGAAGACCUCAGUUGGUUGGGCACCAGCAAAUUCUUCCUUUCCAUUGAUCUGCCAAAAGAACCAAAUGAUUAGUAGUGAUGGAUCUAUUUGGCUAAUCAAACAAAACCCAAAUUUUGAAAAGAAAAAAAGAAGUGAAUUUUCAUCACCCACCACAAAGUAUGGGAUUCCUUUUACUUCUGAGUACUUCUUAAGCUCUUCCUUGACCUUCAUUGUAUCAUGAUGAGCUAGAUCAGUUCCAUUCAAAAAUAUACAGAAAAAAGUUUGGGGUUUGGUUUAUUUCUGAGAAAGGAAUGGCUGUUGCAGGAUUCUAGUUUUAAUUUGGCCUGUUUUGGAACCAAAGGAUCAUAACAAAAAUUCCACAAUCCUCUAUCUGGUUUUUGCUGUCCUUCAACAUGUUAGCUUGGCUUGCAAAAUAAUAGGAACAUGAAGGAAUUGGUGAAGAACAGACCUCAGUGAGCCCAUUGUUGGGGUCAUCAAGAAACUCUGCUGCCCCUUCUAUUUCAAUCUUUUCAGCACAUUUCAGAAGAUAAUCCCUGCACCCAAAUUGCAAAUGUUUGUGCCUCUUUCAAGUUUUACAUCAGAUUAAGGAUGUAGAAGUACUUAACCUAGAACAUAUCUUUGCAUCCAUAGCCAUUGCUUGAAAAUUAAGAAUAGAUUAAUGAAUCCUCCCCAUAUGCAAUCUUACCUGUCCCCAAUGAAUCUCCCAUCUGUGAAAUAUCCAAGACAGAUCUCAUCCACAAGAUCAUGUUGCUUAUCACGAUCCUGCAGCCCAGCAAAAUAUAUAAGCCUGUGACUCUCAAUAGUAUUUCCCCUGCACAUGUUUUACACAAUAUUUGUUAACACAUUAAACCACCACCGAAAAAAUCCUUGUUUCCAUGCUUUCACUCUAUGUGAAAUUGUUUGUUUACACACGCACAAACACACAAUCAGCCUGAAAAAUGAAAGAAAGAAAAAUCAAUGUCUGCACUUACGUGAGUCCAUCGAUCUUAUAAGUCAUGUCAUGGUUUGAAAAGAUCUGCAAAUUGUGAAAAGGAAACAUAAGAAUGAAUACCACUUAAAACUAGCAACCAAAUAAGGAGAAAAACUUCCCUAUCCCCGGUUCAUUGCCCCGAUCUCUCUAUUUCUCUCCUCAUAUCGCCUAUCAGAUGAGGAGAGAGAUAGAAAGAGGGGGGGUGAUGAAACGGGGAUAAGGAAGUACUUUAUGUAUAUAUUACAUACAUCUGCCAUACGGGUCUCAAACACUUCAGCCACAUCAGCGCCCAUCUUUGUAUCAUAAAACUCUUUCUUGUAAGUGCCUUCUUUAGGGAUUUCAGGAUCAAUUUGAAAUGGAUGCCAUCUGAGCUCAAACUCGUAUCGAUCAUUACCUUCCUCCAGAGCUUUGUCAAGGUUUCUUUUGCCCACAAAGCACCAUGGACACACAGUGUCUGCAAUUAUAUCAAUUUCCACAAACUUUUUCUUGGUUCCAGCCAUCUCUGCAACUGUAUCCCUAACAAUAUUUAACACUCAAAACUAGAUGGUGAAACUGGCACUCAAACAAUUGCUGCCAAUAUGGCAACCAUGACAUAUAUAUCAGAGCCACCAAAUUCAUCAAAUAUAUAUAUUAACUGUUUUAAUGUCAACCCAAAUGUGCAUGUAAAGAUGGAUUUGAAGUUGUAUGUUUUUGUUUCAUGAAAGUUUGCUCACAAGUCAUUACUUACACGUCCAUAAAUGUGUGAAAGCUGCCCACCACUUGGGAGGAGAGAGGGUUACGGAUACCUUGUGGACUUCAACAUUUUUUUUUUUCCUUUUCCACUUGAAGGCUUUACCGCCUACCACGUAGCUCAAAGUCAAAACAGAAAAAGUCCACAAAGCCUUGGCUCAAUGCUACCUUAACCAUGAAUGGGUUUUUUUUGUUGUUUUAGGUUUCGACCCAUGUAACCAACCUUGACCAUGAAUGUUGCUCGAUGUCUUUCUUUAAUUUUGGGGCCAAUGUUGUUGGAUAUCAACUAUUAUUGGGAUCAGAGACCAUAAUUUCAACAAUUAGUUGAAAGGAAAAAGAAAACAAGGAGAUAGUAUUAGUAACGAUUGUAAAAUGAAUUUCAAGAAUUUGUUUUUAAUAACGUUGUCUACGAUAUAUAAAUCCAAAUUAUCAUUCGCAUGAGUUGCACCAGUUAUAUAAGCAAACCCAUUGAUGCACAUUACACUCCGCAGAACUAUUGGCAUUGCCAGGCAACAGCCAUAAAAAUCCCAACUAUUUGUUUAACUCGCUCACACCUUUUGGACCCUAUACAAUAUCACAACUCUCACAUCAUGAGAAGAUUCACACAACAUUAGUUACAUUACCCAAAACAGAGAAAACUAUUAGUUAUAUGCAUUCAAUAUAUGUUUCCAAGGUUGCAUUCUUAUUGGAGAUGGAGAGUGAAUGUUUUUAGAUGUGAGGCUGCAUCACUUUGUGGCUGCUUCAAAAGCUCUCAAGAACACCUCAGGCGGUUGACCGCCACUUAGUUCCUGCUUUCCAUUAUUAAUCUGCCAAAACAGCCAAAUGAUUCAUAAGUAAUGGGUCUAUUAAUUGGGCUAAUCAAACGAAAGUUCAAUUUUCAUAAUGUGAGUUUUCAUCACCCACCAGAAAAUGUGGGACUCCAUUUAUGUCUUUCGUGUACUUCUUGAGCUCUUCAUUGACCUUCAUUUUACAUAACGAACAAGGUCAGUUCUAUCAAAGAUAUUGAAGAAAUUCUAAUUUUAGGAAAAGGAGCACAGUAAAAUGUACACAAUGCUCAAUUUGGUCGCAAGAAAACAGAAUCUUAUGAUUUGAAUCAGUUAGCUCAACAGUUCAACUCCAAUCUUCAAAUACUCAGCCAAAAAUAGUGACACAAAGGAAUCAGUGAACAGACCUCAUUGAGUCCAUUGUUGGGGUCUUCAAGAAACUCUGCCGCCCCUUCUACUCCAAUCUUUCUAGCACUUUCCAAAAGAAAUUCCCUGUAUCCAAAUUGCAAAUAUUUGUGCCUCUUAAUUCAGAUUUUAGAAUGUAAAAACAUUUAAUUCUAGGCUGUUCUUCCAUAAAAGUUAAAACUACCCGUAACCAUUUUCAGGAAAUAUAUGUUUUGACGUCCCUUCUUUACCUUAUCAUCUUAGGGGUAAGGAAGUGUCAUAUAUUGGUUUACUCUGAUCAGGAACAUAUAUAGCAUCCAAUUCUCAACAAACACGAUCGACAAAUACAACAUGCUUGAUGCUUCAGAACUUCAGAAGAGAAAUGAUACAGCAAACUGUGGGCUGACAAUCUUUCAUUUUUCAUUUGACUGGUGAGUUUUACAGGAAAAGACAGAAGCACACUCUCUCAUAUACCAUGUGAUAUUUGAAAAGAAGUAGAAUGUUUACAUUUAACACAUGCCGCAAACUUGUAGAGAAGAAAUCACUAUAUACAACCUUAAGGUAAACAGAUAUAAAGGUAAUCAAAAAGUGACCUAAAACUGUGCUUAAUUACCUGUCCCCAAUGUAUUUUUCCUGUGUGAAGUAUCCAAGAAAUAGCUCACCAACAAGCUCAUGUUGCUUCUCAUGACCCUGAAGCCCAGCAAAAUAUAUAAGCCUGUGGCUAUCUAGAGUAUUCCCCCUGUACAUGUUUGACACAAUGUUAAUACAUAAACUAUCAUUUAGUUCCUUUUCCAGGCCUUCCCUCCAUUAUCAAUCUGUUGUUUACAGUGUACACUGUCAGAAUAACAAUGAAAAAGAAAAAGUAAUAUCCUUUCAACUUACGUGAGUCCGGACAGGUUAUAUUCCAGGCCAUGGCCUCUGAAAAUCUGCAAUUUUCAAAGGGGACAGAAUGAAUAACUAGACAGACCCGACAACAUCUUGCAACCAAAUCAAGGCCAUUCAUUUAGCACACCAUACUAUGACAGAGGUAAGCAUAUAUGUUAAUGUUGUACUUUUUAUAUAUAGACAGAUCCAUAGAAUUACACGAAUACCUCUGACAUCCGAGACUCCAUCCGUCCAGACAUGCCAGACCCAAAUUUUUCCUCAUAAUACCUUUUCUUAUCAACACCUUCUUUAGGGGCAUUAGGAUUAAGUUGAAAUGGAUGCCAUCUAACCUGCAAAAAAUUUAUACACUAACAAUAGUUUUGGAUGGAACAACAAUUUAUGUACAGUGUGACAGUAGUUUAGGAUUGAUGGAACAAAAACUGAUUUAUGUACAGUGACAACAAUAGUUUAAGAUGGAAGAACACAACAACAAAAUCAACAAUGACAACAAGAACAAGAAAGAAGAUAACCUCAAAGUCGUAUCGAUCACGAGAUGCCUCUAAAGCUUUGUCAAGAUUUUUCUUGCCCACAAAGCACCAAGGGCAUACAGUAUCUGAAACGAUAUCAAUUUGGAUAAGCUUUUUCGCAGCUGACCCACCAGCCAUAGUUUUAUGCAGUGUUUUCUGCCACAAAAUUAACACAUCAAAUUGGUGCUCGAUACAAUUCCCGGAAAUUCAGAUAUCAGGGGUCACCCAAUUCACAAUUCAUAUCAUCUUACAAAGAUUGAUGGUUUUAAUAUAAACCCACAAACACACAUACAAAGAUUGAUGAAAUGAAACAAAUGAAAUGAAUCUAAAGUACAAGGCUUUGAUUGCUUACCCGUCUGUCAGUUUAUCAAAGCUGCGACUUGGAGAGUUGGACAAGAGAAGAAGACAAUUCUACGCGUUGUGGCUUUACGGAUACUUCGUGAACGUUUUCAAUUUUCUUCUACCACCUUUUCUGUUUUGUUUUUUUAUCUCUCUCCUGUUCAGGCUUCACCACCUACCACGUACCUCUCAAAGUCGGCGAAAAAAGUCCACAAAGCUAAGCUUGAAAUGACACAUACAUAAGCGUAAAAAUACAUAUGGUAGCGUAAAAACUAUGGCUCCAAGAAAAUCUAUUCUAUAUGUCCACUCAACGUCAUCUCCUUCGUCAAUAUCGUUUGUGUAAAAAUUUUGAAACUUAACUCACUUAUUAUAUGUCACUUCGUUGAAACUUCUCCUUAAAUUUGAAAAAAUAGAAAGAAAAAAAUUGCAAAAAAAGGUUAGAAUUAUGUAGAGUUUACUGAUUUUAUUUUUACUUUUGAUGCGGUGCAAGUUUCAUUCACUGAACCUAGACACUUCUCCUUUCUCAAGUUCAGAAUGUAAUUGUCCAAAUAACUUAUAAAUUCAUUAAUUUUUUACCAAAAAAGAAUUCUAUAAAUUUAUAAAAUUAAAAUAAUUUUAGUAUGGAUUCUAGAAAAUUCUUAAGCGUGAAGCAUGUGGGCCUCAACCACGUAACCCGACCCGACUCCGUCUCCGUCUCCCAGCUUCGCGGAACAUUUCCACCAACUAUAAACGGCAAUUAUAAUUUCGGUUUCUUUCCUCCCUUCCUCCCUUCCUCCCUUCCUCUUUGAGUUUGACUCUUUUCAGGUAUCCACUCUUCUCCAUUUUCUCGGAAAUUCGGUUUUGCUCCUCAUCAGUCAUCUCUGUGUCUCUGUUUGGUUGCCUAGAAUCCAAUCAAACAGAGCUCCACCGCCUCAUUCACCUUUCUCGGCGUUCAAACAAAAGAACAAAUCUUUCAAAGCUUUCAAAUUUCUGCUUCGAUUGGAUCAGAAUUUGCUCAACUUUUGUUUUCAUUCAUUUCCGUGUCAAAUUCGUAGCUGAAUGCAAUCUAUUGCAACCAAACGAAGAACCAAUCUUAUAAAGCUUGCAACUUUCUGCUUCAAUUGAAUUAGAAUUUGCUCAAUUUCUGGUUUCAUUCUUUUCCAUACCGAACACUCGUAGCUAAAAGCAAUAAACGUUUUCAGGGGCAGGCAAUACAUGAAAAUGGACAUAGAUGAACUAUUGGGUCGAAACCGACCAGUGAGCAUUCCGACGAAGAGUGCAAUUUACGUGUGGGGCUAUAACCAGUCUGGGCAGACGGGUCGCAAUGGUAAGGAGCGGCAAUUGAGGAUCCCAAAGCAGCUCAAGCCCGAGCUUUUUGGAUGUACGGCUGGGGCCAAUUCGCGAUGGCUGGACAUUGCCUGUGGCCGCGAGCACACAGCCGCUGUAGCCUCAGACGGAUCGCUUUUCACUUGGGGUAUGCUGGUUUUACAAUUAUAAAGUUUUCAAAUUUGAAUUCAAUUCAUUGAAUAUGGGAUAAUGGGACUGUGAAGUCAAAUUGCCCUUUCUCGUUUUGGAAUUGGUUAUGGUGAUAGAGUAAAUUCAAAGGCAUGUUUGGCUGAUAAGUCCGUCGCUUUUUACUUUUGGAAUUGGUUUUCCAUUUCUGAAUUCAAUCAAUUGCAUAUGGUGGAAAUGAACCGUUUACCGUCUUGAAUAUUGGUUGUUAGUGAUUUUAGUUUGUAUUAAUAGACCUGUGAAAUCAAAUUGCCGGUUCUCGUUUUGGAAAUGGUUGAUUAUAGUGAUAGGAAUAAGCCAUAUGUUUGUGGUGGUUGACAAAGUACAUAUAAAAUUGUGUUUGGUUGAUGUGCGUAUGCUGAGAGCAUUAGAUAACCUGAAUGUGUAAACAAUUGAUCCAGGGGCUAAUGACUUUGGUCAAUUGGGAGACGGAACUGAGGAGCGAAGAAAACAUCCAAAGAAAGUGAAGCAAUUACAGACAGAGUUUGUGAAAUCUGUAUCUUGUGGAGCACAUUGUACCGCUGCUAUUGCAGAACCUCGUGAAAAUGAUGGAUCUGUCUCAACAAGAAGGCUUUGGAUUUGGGGGCAAAAUCAGGUCCUACUAUGAAUUUCUUCAGCAUCAUUCCUGUUUUCAUCCCUUUUUGGCAGAUAGUACUGUAAUUUGUUUACUUUUUUUCUUCCCUGUUUUCUCAUUACAGGGAUCAAAUUUUCCACGUUUAUUUUGGGGCGCCUUCACUCCAAACACGGUAUGCUUUACCUCUUAUUGAUUAUGCAUUCCUUUUAGGUCAGAAUUUUUUGUCUUAGAAUUAUGAUAUUAUUUGGAUAGUAAGAUGAGCUCAUCAGGUUUCAACUAUGGAGAUUUCAUUUAUCAAGUAAAUAAGUUCUCUUAAUAAAAAGCUGAGGCAGUAAUUGAUUUUAAAAACCUUGAUCAAUUGUCAUUAGCUGGGCUGGUUGAUCAAAGUCAAGGGAUUACUUUGAACAGCUACUAGGCUCUGCUGCCACUGCAGGCAAUGCAUUUAAAAGUUUGACAACUAGUCUUAGAUCACAACUCCAAAACCCACAAGAGAAAAAGAUGAAUUCCUGUUGUAUCAAAUGCUUCAUUGAAGAUGGUUAUCAAAUUUAAUACUUGUUACUUACCAAAAAGUUUUUUACAGAUUAUCCGUCAAGUGUCUUGUGGGGCAGUUCAUGUGAUGGCUUUAUCAGACGAUGGCCUGCUACAAGCUUGGGGUAACUGUGAUUCUAGGAUCAUUUGCUAUGUCUACCUCCACCCUUAUAAAUGCAUAUUCCAUUUGUUAGUUUCUUAUAAUAUCAUUUUUCUUUUGAAAGCAGCUUCUGAGUAUAUCUGUUAGAGUUGAUUUUUGUAUUGCAAUUUGGUGAUAGAUACAUAUACCUGACAAUAUGAAUAGAAAACUGAAGCUUGUGUUUUCCCGCCUCUAAUUAAUCAGAAUUAAUUACUGUGCUGGUACACCAGGAUAUAAUGAAUAUGGUCAGCUUGGCAGAGGAUUUACAUGUGAAGGAUUACAGGGGGCUCGUAUAAUAAAUGCUUAUGCGAAGUUCCUUGAUGAUGCUCCUGAGCUUGUGAAGAUUACCCAAGUGUCAUGCGGGGAGUACCACACUGCAGCUAUAUCUGAAAAAGGCGAGGUGUAAGUGAUCUGAAGGAAUUCUUAGAUGGAGAUUAGGUUCUAUAUUUAAGCUUGAGUAUUGUGGUUGUCCGCAUGGCACAUUUAACUCAGAAGGUUUGCAAAAUCUUCGUAUGGGAAUCUCACAUUUUAAGGGAGACAGGAUGCUGCAUUCUGCUACUAUACAUUUCUGAAUUUAUAUUUGUUAUGCAUGAUGCAGCCAGCAAUGGUUGUAGCAGCUGAAAGAUCCUUGCUACAGUUAUCAUACUUUAUUCUUCUUUUGUUUUGUUUAACUUUAGUUUCUUUGCGGAAUUCUUCCUCACAAUAAAUUUAUUUGGCCCUCACAGGUAUACUUGGGGGCUUGGAAACAUGGGUCAACUUGGGCAUUGUUCCCUCCAGUCUGGGGAGAAAGAGUUAUUGCCUAGGAGAGUGGUCGCACUUGAUGGAAUAUUCAUAAAGGAUAUUGCAUGCGGUGGUAUACAUACAUGUGCCGUGACUCAGAAGGGAGCUCUUUAUGCUUGGGGUGGUGGUCGAUCAGGGCAGUUAGGCCUUGGCCCUGACACUGGAUUCUUUUCAUGCACCGCUAAUGAGUCUGAGUCUUUUCUCCGGAAUAUCCCUGCAUUAGUUGUUCCAACUAGUGUACAACUCAUUACAUGUGGACACUCCCACACACUUAUCUCUACAAGGGAUGGAAGAAUUCAUGGAUGGGGCUACAAUAGCUAUGGUCAGGCAUCUAACGAGAAAUCGACUUAUGCUUGGUAUCCAUCCCCGCUUGAUUGGUAAGGCACAAAUAAAUUGUUCAUCAGGUUUUUCUUGGCAAUCUUGAUUAGUAUUUUGAUUGAAGUAUGCAUUGCAGGUGCGUGGGGGAAGUGCGGAAACUUGCAGCUGGUGGUGGCCAUUCAGCCGUGUUGACUGAUGCAUGUUCCUUGAAGGAGUUGUGUGAAUUUAGGCUUGCGGAUAGCGUGAAUCUAAAGAAUGCUUCUGAGAUUGAGGACAUUGCGUCUAGAACAGGUUCAGAUGCUUUAGCACGCCUCUGUGAAAGAUUGAGGUAUUCCUUUCUAUCCAUGGCCUAAUUCCACAUUUAUGUAAUAUUAGUUUUUCUGCCUUCAUAAAAUUAGGAUAAAAUCUACUAAAUUUGAUAGCACUGAAAAUGUUAGUAGAAUCUAUGUCACACACAAUCAAUGGAAUAUAAAUAUAGGAACUGGACUACCUUGAAAGAGCACCAGAGUUUGUCACAUUUUGAGUUAACCUAUGUGUGAGUGUUGUGGCAAUGAUUUAAAAUCUGAAAGGUCCUCAUGUUCAUAGAGGUUCUUUCGUCCAAAGAGCUUUUUAAUUUGUUGAUCACAUAAUAUUCAUUAACUCUGGUGCCUUGGGAGCUUUUGCAGCAGUGUCUCCAUUGGUUUGGAAUUGCUUCUUUGUUCUUUAUGUUUAUCUUUGAUGAAAUACCAUGUUACUUUUUACUUCCUGCAGGCAGCAUGUGCUUGAGGGUGAUGAUUGUGAAUAUGAAGACGAUGAGACCACCAGUAAUAGGAAGUGAAGAAUCAAUUGGACCAGAUUUUAAAAUUGACAAUCAUUAUGUCAAUAAUUUGUCUAUUAAUCACUUUAUUAUUUCCAAUCUGGUUAUGAAUUAGGUAUUGAAAAUUGUUGUAAUCAGAUUGUAAGGGGUUAAUCUCUUGUAGUUAUGUAAAAUUGCUAUUUUGUAACCCUAAUUAAGUCAAGUACACAAUUAGCCAUGUCAAAUUUUCUUCCAAUAUGAUUAGAAUUUAGAAUAUUACAAGUUUGAAGAAACAUUGUUGUUUUUAUUCUUUAUAAUAAUAAAACUUUACAGUAGAGGUAAAUUGAAUGUUAAUUGUGAUCGAUGUAUCUUCUUCGACCUCCACAACUAAAAACAUUAGAAUUUUAUUUGAGAAUAGCCGGCCGGCCAGCAAGCCCAUUAUUCGUUGAAAUGGCGAUACAUCCACAUUGGCAUGAGUGUGUUAGUAGUAGUGGGCGGCCGAGUUUGAGUUCUUCCGUCAUUAUCAUCACCAUCUUCCAUCCCUCCUCUUGCCUGGAUUCCCCCACUGCAUCAAUAUUUGCAUACAGUCUCAAUAUACUUGCUUUUUUUUUGCAUGUAACCCAAAUAUUCGUCAACUGUAUCAUCAAGAGAGAGAGAGAGAGAGAGAGAGAGAGAGAGAACCCAAUGGUUAGAGAAGCAAGUAGUGCCGGUGUUGACGGGGGUUGGGGCGGCGGCGGCGGCAUUAGCAGGAGGGUGGAUGAGUUGUGGGCGGCUUGGUUACUUUGGUGCUGCUCUACCUGCCGCCCCUGACCAUCAUGCUCUACCUCCAGCAUAUUUUCAUUCUCCUUCAGCUUCAGCUGGGGGUCAUAUAUAAAAACAUAUACCACAACUUUUAAUUAAUUAAACGAGCUUAUGAUCAACGCUAAUUCUCUGGCCAUUAUAUGAUAUCAUGAUUUUAUUACCUUCUUUGCUAGCGAGUUGUUUUGCUCCUGCAGUGCCUUUUGCUGUAACAAACAAGUUCCUAUAAUGUGAGAUCGAUGACGUGCAAAUAUAAUUAACACCAAUUUCAUCUUGGAUUAAAAUAGCCUACAAGUGACCCUUAACCCUGAUUUUAUCCCAAGCACACCUGGUAAUUAAGCUAAUCAUUUACGACACGACCAUGCAUGUCUACACAUGAGCAGGGGAAAACCAUGCAUAUAUAUAUAUAUAGUAUAUAUCACAUUUUCCGGACAUGCCCAUGAGAAACUUUCUACCUUUUUGUGCAGCUCUGAAAUGGAUUCGUGCAUCAGUUGGUUCUGCAAAUGCCAAAAUCCAUAUGAUUAGUGUAAACCGAAAACCAUAUAUACGAAUUGAGUUGACAAGCUUGCUUAGCUAUAUGCACUUUACCUUUCUUGUUCGUAUGCGCUUAAGUGCUGUCUCAAGCUGUAGCUCCAAAUUUUGAAGCUCUCUCAAGCUUAAGGAUUCUAAAUCUUCUCCAGUAAAAUGCCUGGAGAAAUCGGUGUCAAAUACAAGGUUAAUGAAGUUCACCAUGAUCAUUUUGUCAUGAUAUUUUUCAUCUUGUCCUCAACUCAGAGCUUUUUCCUUCUUAAAGUCCUUACAUUCAAUAUAUAUAUAUAUAUAUAUAUAGCUUAAAUAAUUUCUUGUGCUAACUGGCAUGAUACCUUAGUUUCCUUUGCAAGACUUCAAUCCUUGCUGCAAGCUUGGGAUAUUCCAGAGACCAGCAGCUUCCCUAUACACAGUAUAUACAGGGCUUACAUUCUUCAAAAGUGCAAAUUAAUCUUUAGAAGGCUACUGAUAAAACUCUAAAUCCAUCUUUUGCUCAUGAGUUCAUUAAAGGACAUGCAUUCGAACGAGAGGGAAAACUGAAGGUCCAACUUUUGUAACAAAAUCUUAACAAAAACAAGAAGAAAAAAAAACCUAUUUAAUACAAUUAGUCAUCUUUUAAGAUAUAUAUAACUAUUUGAUGAGCUGCAUGUAUGAAAGGAUACCUGUGGUUCGGAAUCAGUUGUGAGUUGCUGUUCUGCAUACGAAUACUGGUCAUAUCGCUCCAGGAUGCUCUCCAUGCUUUAUAAAAAGGAAAGCUUUCAGAAUGACAAGCCAAUGAAGCUUAUGAAGUUUAGUCAUUUGGACAAUACUUUCGAGAUUAAUCACUCAGACUUUAUUAAAAUGUAAAAGAAUGGUUAACAAGGAUUUUGACACUAGGUUGUUAACAAUAGUAUCAUAAUAUCAUGACACAAUUUGGUAUUAAAAUCCCUCCCCCCCUUAAUUACUCCUCAUUUAACUUAAGGAGCACAUGUACCUGUGAGAAGGAGAAGUAGAUAGAUACGUUAGACAAAUAUUAUAAUAACUUGAGUGCUUAGGGACAAAGUUCACUCAUAGAUUCAAACACGUAGUAUAGUUCAACUCACAUAUUAUAAGUGAUAAAAUGUAAUAGUUCAUAUCGAUGCUCUCUUUUUCUUUGUCGACCUAGCUUAGUCUCCGUCACAUUGCAAUCACUUUAAUGCCCUAUUUAGUUAUAAGCCCACGUUACUAGGCUCGGCACCUUAAAAUCAUUUGUCUUUACACGCCAAGAUGGCUUUAGGUAAAUUCUAUGUGUCUGAAAUGUGAAAGUAGCUGAAACUCUUUAGCCAAAUGAGUAUAAGGUUACUAUAGCUUGUAUUACACCAAAUGAGUGUUUAAAAUGUAUGGAGCAUGGCCACUCCAGACUCAAUAGUGGCUCUGCUGAGCCGCCUCAAUAAAUUUGAGCAUUUUAAAGACUUCAAUGAUAUACAUAACCAAGGUAUUACGCCUCACAUAUUAGACAGUUACUAUACUCGAUCAAUGUUUUAUGUGAUAAGGCAUAAUACUUUCAGGUUUUAUGCAUACAAUCUAUUAUGUCCUAUACGCUAUCAUGCAUAUUAUAAAACUUCUACUUCAGGCUAACUUGAUUAUGCUUCCCCAAAUCUUUUCCUUUUUGAUGUGGAGGGGACGAGUUGUUAUCUCAUUCUAUCUCAAUAGUCUCCACAUAGCUAGUUAGUACCAUGCGAUGUUACUAAUCCACACUCAUGUUAAUUGAUAGAACCUUAAAGAAACGCAAAUUACAAGUUCAACAUAUGAUGGAUUAUUAUCUAAUCCAUGAGAUAAAGUGGUUCGGAAGGGAAGCGUAAGUAAAUUACUACACAAAAGAUAACAAAAGAAAAAUUGCAUUUACAAGUAUUCCUAGCUAACAUUGGUGUAACAUUCAUAUCCCAAAAUCAAUUAGGCAAGUUCAUACUAGAAUAAAAUGUUUUUCCAAAUGUAUGAAAUCUCAACCUCCAUAGUAAAGGUAUGUGUAUGAAUCACAACAUACACACAUGUUGGGAAGAUUAACUUAACAAGCUUAAUCAAAAUCUCUAGCUAAUGUAAGCAUGAACAGAUAUCCAUUUUUAAAAAAUAGUUACAUAAAAUAAUACUUGCUUUCCGGUUCCCUAAUCUUGUGGUUUUGUCUAAUUGAAUGAUUAACCACAUUAGACGCAAAUGGGAAAUCCUUUUGGGAAUCUCACAUAACGAACCAACAUUUGCUUUUCUCUCUUCCCCUACGCACCUUUUCGACAACCUAUAUCAUUGGAAGAGGGCUUUUUCCUCCUAGCUAGGUGCACAAACAAAACAACCAGCAUAGAUAUUGAAGAUCUACAAGAUGCUCAUAUACUAGGUAACAAAACCAACGAAAACACCACUCCCAUCAUGACACAUUGCUCAAUGAAACCUCACCCGGGUCGAACACCUGUAAACAAAUUAUUAUUUAUAAAAUAAAUAAUAAAAAAAUAAGUGCUAAUUUUAUUUUUAAAAAAAUAAGUACUGCCUCCUCUUUUGGGUGUACAUGUGAUGUACAAAACCCUUUUUCUGAGACAGUGAUGGUACAUAAUGCCAGUGUCUUAUAUCAUCUUCAUAUAUAUACAACUACUAAGCUGCAAAAAUACCCAUUUUAAGAAUUUAGAUUGCAUACAAAAUUAAAUUAAUUAAUUCCCAAUUCUUGAUUUGGCCUGUAAGUACACGUCUGUGAAUUGUGAGUGAACCUGGACUCUAUGUACUUACUCUGACAAUAAGCUAAUCAAUUAGAAAUGAAACAAAGCAAUUAAUUAUAUAAAAACCAAAAACAAGAAGAUUUUGUUUCUGUUAAUUAUUUGUAGCUGAUCAAAGAGAUAAUAUAUAUUACAAAGCUUUUGUUUUUAUAUGGGAUUACACAUUUUUUUUCAUGACUUUCUGCAUCUUGACCUCUUAGUACAAACAAAUACAGAGAGAGAGAGAGAGAGAGAGAGAGAGAGAGAGAGAGAGAGAGAGAGCAUAUAUCUAAGUACUGGUGUUUAAGCUUAGCUUUUUUGUACUAUAUUAAUUUAUAAAUAUUUUUGGAUUAACGGAAGCAAAGAACACUAACAAGAAACCAGAAAGAUCCAUGCCCAGAGAAAGAUAUAUAAGCUCAAGAAGCACAGUGAUGAAGGAAAACGUAACAAACCUGGAAUCACUAGAAUACUCAAAGAGCUUCCCUUUGGUGGAGAAGACAAUAAGUGCCACGUCAGCAUCGCAUAGAACUGAGAUCUCAUGAGCUUUCUUGAGCAAUCCGGCCCUUCUCUUCGAGAAUGUUACUUGCCUGCUUAUCUUGUUCUCGAUCCGCUUCAGCUGAACCUUACCCCUUCCCAUUAUUUUUUUUUUCUCUCCCUCUCUCUCUCUCUCUCCCUCUCGCUCUCUCUCUUUUUUUUCCCUCUCUUUUUUCUUAUAUUACUAAAAAUGGAAAGAGGGAAGUGAGGGAGAGAAAUUACUAUAUAUAGUCCUAGAAACCAAAUAGAUGAAAAAUAUACCAAAUUUGAAAGAAAACCCUAAAUUUGGUUGAUACCAGAAAAGAAGCUAGAUGAAAAGAGGAAGCAUGGAGAUGGUUGUUUUUUAUGUGAUAGUGGGUGUUUAAUGUGUUGGGUUUUUUUUCUUCCUAUUUUUGUAUUGGGAAGUGUUUUUGGUUUAGUAAGCAAAGGCGCUGUGCAACACAAAUGGGGAAAAAGAAGAGAGAAUGAGGGGAAGAGAGGGACAGAGAAAAUCUGGUGGUUUUUGGAAACCGGGUGGUUUGGGCGAAUGCGUUGUCGAGUUGAGAUUGGCGGAAAAGGCCCAACACUUGGUGGUGUCUCAGUUUAGUCACAGGAUUGCAGACAGUCCGUACAAUCUCAUGUCAGAUAAGCUUUGUGGGGCCGACGAGAAACCCUCUGUGGGGCUGACGGCGCUUCUCACUUUACUAAUUUGGUCUCACCUUAAUUUUAUCUUAAUAAGGAUUAACUAGUUAAGGAUGUCUUGGUAAACUUGUCUUUUCUGAAAGAUAGGUGUUAUAUGGUAACACUUUGAAUCUAACCAAUAAUUCAAAUUUAUAGUUUCAUAUAAAUAUCUAAUGUUGAGGGAGUGGAGUGUCUAGACAUAUAUGUUCUCAACUUAUACGAAAUCAAAACUCAACAAUUGAAUUUGAUAUCUUAAAAGAAAAACUAGUGGUCUAAAAUUGAAGUUCUUCUUUUUAAUGUGAUCCAACCAGAUCAACAUAUUAGCAAUUGAAAUUGAUAAAGAUAUGAGGAAUCUCAAAGUUUCUCCACAUCUACACUAAAUUUUCUUAUAAUUUAUAGCGCAUAUAGCUUUACAAAAGGAAAGUGAAAAUAGGGAAGAGUAGGAAGACUUGGAGAAGAAUCUUCUUUUACGUUUAUUUUUUUUUUCGUUUAAACAGAACUAUUCUAAGAAAACAAAAGAAAAAAACAAAAAUAAGUAAAUUUAAAGGAAGGGUCAUUAGUUAACACUUAAAAUGUGUUGUUAUCAGUUUCCUUGACUUGGAUUAUAAAGUCCAUCUUUCAAUUAUACUUGUUUUGUGCAUUAUGAAUCACUAAUAACAUGAGUUGUUAAAUCAUGAUCAGAUUGUUAAUGUUCAACAUUGACUUAACACAUGGAUUAAUUAAUCAUUAACCAAGUCAAUCAGUCAAUUGGGAAGCGAAAUUUUAAGGUUAACUGUAGAACGUGGGUGCGGACUCGUGUAGGUUUUGCCUGCCAACUCCAUUUGAUGGUUUAGUUCAAUUCGAUUCAUCUAAUUGUUUGCAAAAUUAUAAUGAUAUCUGGUAAGGAAAUUAUUAAAUCAUUUAAAUAUUUUUUUAAUGAUUUCAUAGUUGUUGCCGGGCUCCCUGGGGUUUGGUCUUCCUGUCAAAUUAAAUAAUUAAAAUGGUUUGUGUUUUUGUUGGUGGCGUGGCGUGGCUUGUUGGGAUUGGGUUCAGGUCCUUCGGAUCUCUCAAAAUUCAGGGAAAUUGGUUUUUGUUUUUGCUAGCUUCUGUGUUUUCUCUUCUUAAUUUGUUGGCUUUAUGUUGCCCUUUGUGGUGGUUUGUGGCCGCAGUUGGCUGCCCCAAAUGAGUAGAUACUACUUUAUUUCAAAUUCCUGAAAUCUUAAGUUGUGCUUUUUUAGAGCGGCACAUGAGCCGGGUUUGUCAUUAUUAUUAUCCUUAUUUUCUCAUGUACAUAAAGAGAAAAACUUAUCUAUCCUCGUUUCAUUACUUUCAUUUCUUUAUAAAGAAAUCUUUCUGUUGAAGAAGGAUACAUAUGUUGACAUUACUUUUCUUUAGAAAAAAAAAAUAACAUUUUUCAGAUUGAUAAAUCGCAUUAGAAAAUCAUAUUCAAGCACACUACUUUGUGGUCCAGCCUCUGAAUAAUUAUAUAAUUGUGUUGGCAUGUGGGAUUUUUAUUUUUAUGUGUGAAACUUAAGAAUUUCCAUGAUUGUGGUCCCAUUAGUACUAUGAACAUUUGUUUUCUUCUUCUUUUUUUUGUUUUUGUUUAAAGUUUGUUGGACAUUCAUCUCCUACCCAUCAUACUCUUGAACAAGAAACUGUUCUAUGACCUCUAAAAGCACCAUCUUCCAUUCCUUUUAAAUAAUACAACUGAAGUCGUACGACUAUAUGCAUAAGGCGAGGGGGACCAUUUAAGCUACAAAUUAUACAACUCAAAAAAUGUCAAAUUAAUAUUGUGAAGGACAAGUGCGAUAAAAAGGAAAAUACAUCUCUCACUUUAUUUCUCGGUGGUUGUGCUCAUACUCGUUUUACUUUCUUUUUUCAUCAUAAAUUUAACAAUAAACUCAAAAGGAAUCCACGUCAAUAAACAGCGAUACAAUUUUAAAAAAUAUAAAGUUCUAAAUAAUGUCAGAAGACUCCUCAAACCAAGACAAUUACAAAUCAAAACGGACUAAUCUAUGCUAUUACAAGCUGGAGACACGAGGGCAAUUUUCCUUUUAUGGUUUUUUUUAAUUUUAUUUUUUUACCUCUAAAAAUUUCACCACAAACAGACCUACAAUUUGCUGUACACGUGAAGCCAUAAAUGAAUUUCGUUUUCAUUCCCUUACAAUACUCAAAUGUAGGUGUGACCUUGGUCAACAUUAUUACUGCUAUAAUUGAAAAGAGGGGGAGAAAAGUCAACACAUUUUGCACAUUGUUCAUAGCCCAACUAUAUACUGAUCGAUCAGCUAUAGUAAUGCGUUUAGCUGUUUAGUGGACGACAAGACGUAUUGAUGUGUUAUUGUCCCAACAGUCCCAUGCCAUGGCCCAAUACAAAUGAUAAAAAACCAACAAAAAAACCUCAUAGAGAAUUGGAAAUAGAAUACGACUUGCGUCUUGACCACAACCAUUUGUUUCAUGAGGUGCCCCACGUACCUGUCGAGCUCAUUGAAUUUGCUCAACCAUUUCUGCAUGCAUGAAUAAUGGCUUAGCAGCUUCGUCCUCGUAUAUAAGUUGGGUUCUGCAAAUGUAUUAAUGCCAUCUUUUGUUAAGCUUUGUUGAUAUAUAAUAUAUAUGUGUCCUUAAAAUAGAGACGUGGACAUGGAGUGAAAAAGAUGUGAAUCGAAAACGAUGCAACCUAGCUAACCCCCUUUUAAACCACACUCAUUAUUGUUCUAAAUCAAAGUGAAAUUAAUAAUAAUCAAGAUAAUUAGAGUGCACUUAUCGCGGAUAAGUACUACCUUAAUCAUCGGUUUAGUCUGAUCAAGCUUCCUCUAUUCUUGGUGGUAGAAAAGCUUCAUUUUCCUAUAAAAGGACCGUGGCUUUAAAUCUAGACUAGAUCAGCACAUUUGGUUUUAAAGUUAGUUUGAGAGUGAUGACCAAAAAAGAAAAAAAAAGCUAAGUUUGAGUAAAGUUUUUCCUCUCUCUCUCUCUCUCUCUCUCUCUCUCUCUCUCUCUCUCUCUAUAAUUCAACAAACCUAUGUUUAUAUAUGUCACAUUUGGUUGUCAGAUAUGUUUAUAUCCCAGUUCAAGAAUUAGCUCGGGGAAAAGCUGCAUAUGUACCAACUUUUCCAACAUAAUAUGUGAGAAAUUAGCAUAAUUAAUUAAAAUACCAAUCUACACAUGGUAAUGGAAUCAUGAAUGGAAUGAUUUCAUCAACAAAAAUUGAAAUCGAAAAGUGAAUAGUUUGUAAUGAUGAUAUUGAAGCAUUAAUUAAAUAAUUCAUGUGGUCCUUCCUCCUUUAACACAAGCAUGCAAAUUAAAAACAAAAUAAAAUACAAAUGUACAUUUUGAUCCUAUCUAUCAAUUUUAACUUGCGUGUAAGACUUAAGUUUUCAUGAAGUGGUCCUAUAAAUGAGUUCUCUAUCUCCGCAUGGAAACUUUCUCAAAGUAUAGAAGAAAGAAAUUUCUGGGAUUAAGGAGAGAUUAUAGAAUAUUACGGUAAUAUGGUUACGUGGUAUAUUUUGUACACGUGUUAUGCAAAUGCAAUCCCUCCUGUGAGAAAGCUUUAACUUAACUUAGAAAUGUAUUUAAAGUUUUCUUUCUUUUUCUUUAAUAUAGAUGAACAAUAUAGUUUAUUUUCCUCCUUUUUAAAAAAUAAUAUCAAAAAAUAUUCAAUUAUAUCCACGUAACUGAACUAUUGUAGUAUUCUAUCAUCACUCGAAAUUAAGCAUGACACAUAAUCUAAAUGGUCCCAAUGAAUCAAAUGUGAAUUCAAACCUCGUAUAUCUAUAUGCAUCUCAGUGAGCUAGCACAUGCUUGAUGGGACCAUUUCUUUACACACCAACAAACAAAUUGAAGACCUACACAUUUGAGACAAAAGAGAACUAAGUUAAAACCUACUUCAGUCCUUUUUGCUUCGUAAUUUGCACCUAUACAUAUGUCUAUAGAUAUCUCAAAGUCCCAAAUUCUUUUUCAAAUAUUACUCCAUGAAAAAUUUAUGUCGUACACAAUAAUUGUUGAGUAAAACAAUUAUAUAAAUAUAUAAAUAAAAGCUCAAAUGUCAUACACAACUCUAUUAACUAACUGGGCUUAACACAAAAAUAAAAGCCCAAAUCCUUUAUAUUGAGGCUCAUUACUUUGGGCCCAACAAAAUCUAGCAACCAACAAGAGCCCAUAUGAUAUAUCAAAUGAAAGAGGCUACAAUGAGGAAUUUAAAGUGAGAAGGCUAAUCCCACAUUUAAAAUAUUUAGGCUUAUUUAUUGUUUCACCCCUGAAACUCGAGCUCGUUCUCACUUAAGCAUUCGGAAUUCAUAUUUCAUCACUUUACCUCAUGAAUCUCUAAAAAUUGGUAAAAUUUUCUCACUUUACCACUUCCAUCUAUUUAUGUCCACAAAACCAUUAAGUGUGCUGAGGUGGCAUAGGCAUUCUAGUAAUUUUAACCCUUCUAUCUUCUCUCUCUCUCUCUCUCUCUCAUCCCCUCCCCAACACUUAUCGCAUCUCCAUCGCACCCCACCCCACCCCCUCUCAUCUUCUUUCAGCUUUUUGCCUCUUUCUCUCACUCUCACUCUCACUCUCACUCUUUCUGACGAAAGAGAAGAUGGACAGUGGAUGUUGAUGAAAUUUUUUAAUAAAAUUUUGAGUGGUGGUGGUUUGAGUGUGUUGAGUAAUUCCAUGGAGGGUUAGGUUUGGGUUUGGGGAGGGAAAAGGAGAGAAGAGAGAGGCUGCGAUUGUGUGUGUGUGUGUGUGUGUGUGUGAGAGAGAGAGAGAGAGAGAGAAUGAGUGAGGGAAGAUGUGGGGUGCGAUGGAGGCGCACUGGGGUUGGGUCUGGGGAGGGUCUGGGAGAAAAGAGAGGGGCAGAGAGAGAGAGAGAGAGAGAGAGAGAAGAGAUAAAAAGAGGAAGGGUGGGUUGGGGUGCAAUGAGGGGUUAGGGGUCAGAGAGAGAGAGAGAGAGAAAGGCCAUUUAAAGGGAAAAUGAGACGACGUUGAGGGGAGGGAGUAACAUUUGAGACGGAGUGGGAGAAUGGGGGGUAAAGUGAGGAAAGUUGAGUUCCUGGUAGUUAAGUAAGAGCGAACUCGAGUUCUAGAGGUGAAACAGUAAAUAAGUCAAAUAUUUAAGUCUUAAGAUUUCGUUACAUUUGUUGAUGGUGAGAUUGACCUCCUCAAAUAGCCUCCUCACUUUAAACUCCUCAUUAUAGCCUCCUUGAUAUCAAACAAGGUCUUAAAAAUUUCAACAUCAUUUUUCGCUGAACCAGUGAAUGCCUGGGGCAUUUUAGGACUGCCUCGCGUUGAAAAUUUUGCUUUCUUACUUUUUUUAUUCUUAUUUUUAUAAAUUUUAUUCAAAAUUAACAGUGUUAUAGAGGUGAAGGUUAUAUGGGAGGACAAGUGUAAAAAUAAAAUAAUAAAAUAAUAAUAAUUAAAAAAAAGGGUGGACAAACAAAAUGGGCACAGGAGAAUUGAACUCAUACAAGCUUUUGUAGCUUGUGUAAAAGCUCUCUGUUUGAAGAAACCCUUACAUGAAAUAGGGAUAACACUAGUUUGCUAUCCUCGACCAAUCAUGUUAUGCCACACGUAAUAACUUUUUUACGUAGCAGUCUGUGAUUGGCCGAAAAUAGCGAACUAGUGUUAUCCCCGUUUCAUACAAGUUUUUCUACUUUGUUUGAGUAGAAGAAGAUAAAAGGGUUCCUUUCCCCCCCAAGGUCCUCUCCUCUGGUACUUCGAGUUUGUACAUUUGAGGCUAGGGUUGAUGACAUAACAUCCUAAAGUAAAGUUUAGUUUUUUUUUUCCUUUUUUUUUUUUUUUCAGGAGAUAGAGUACAAACUAGUAACUUACAACAAGAAGCUACGUGCCACACAUCACAUCCAAAAUAAAACAUAACAUAACAACAUAACACAAAUAAAAAUGAGACAACCCUUUGCUGAACAAGACACCACACCACAAAAUGCACCAUGAUAAUGUAUCCGAUGAGAAAGUCCAGGUAUCUUCGAAUAACCAUCUACCCAGCUUAAUUUGUUGGAGGACAUGAGAGGUCAUCGUUAUUCAAAACAUGCACAAGAGACAUGGGGGGUCAUCGAUUUUUUUUCAUGCCAUCUCUUCAUCAGUUACCGUAAUGGCAAAUAGGUUCUCUUUAACCCAAACAAUCUUUGCUUCACCAUAUUUUUUCCAAGCAGCUUUGAGGAUGGUCUUGAUUGCCUUUUGUUUGGGUGCUUCUGAGCGAUUACCACCCCAACCAAUUGUAAGCCCUCCUCCAUAUUAUAUAUCUCUAGUGACUCCUCCAAUUGCUUAAUGAGCUGGUCUUCUGUUGGACGUGCAAGCUCACCACUACAUGGUCCACUUCUUCUACUUUCACUCAUGAUUUGGUCAGGGGACAUGCUGUGGAUGGAAAUAGGAUCUUGUGGCAGUAUUUUGGGUAUUUUCCGGGUCGUGUUUAAGUUUGAUGGAGCGUAGGUGGAUCUAGUCUUUGAAAGUCUGGUAUAAAAAGCAAAUGAGUAUAUAGGCGCAGGGAACACCAGCUAAAUCUCCUCAUGUUUAAUUCCGUUGGUUCUAAGUUGGUAGAGAUUAUUAAUGCAGACAUCCUAAAAACCCGAAGGAACUUCAAGAUUUAGAGGAUAAAUGAAGCAGGUAAGGAGUAAUAGGAGCACAGUAUGUCAUGGGGAUUUUGAUUAGAUUGGAUGCAAGAUUUUCCCUAGAUCAAGUAUUAAAUCUGUAAGGGUUGUCGAUCGAGAUAUGGGUUAAGGCGGUGGUUGUGAUGGAGUAAUGAAUCACCAGUACAAAUACGAAGAAGAGGAACUCCCACGAGAAGAGAAGAGAGGAUGUUUUGUUUUGUUUGUCACUUUCUGUUUGAAAAUUAUAUAUAUUUUUUAAUUAAAAGAAAUUGCCGUCAACAAUUGUGUUUUGUGCAAAGGGCCUUUUUUUUGCAUCCGGAUCCAUGGUUGUGGAUUAUAAUUUAAUCUAAACACUAGAAUUAGAACGACAUAUAUGAAGCUUUCUAUCUGAAAAUUCGAAUGUAAAUUCUAAAUUAUCGUCAAUACAAAUAGUUAAGAAUCACUUCUAUUUUUAAAGGGUAUGGGCUACUUAUAGUCUAAAUUAUCAUAAAUUAAUUUUAUAUAUAUAUAUAUGGGGGUUAAGAUCCGAGGACGCACAAAAAAACACAUUUUUAACCCUAGAUGAUUCACCAUGCAUACAAUGACUCAAAAUGCAUAAGUCACUAUUGUUUUUAAACUAAAAAAAACCAAUAUUCUAUUUUUACUUUUUAAAAACAUGCAGCAAUCAUUACUUCAAUUUCUCCCUCCUCACAUGUACCUCUUCAUUUCUAUUGCUAUUCCUUGCACAGAUUUCUUCCUUCCACAAACAACUCUCUCCCACUCCAUUAUUCUCUUAUGUCUUCAUCUCUUCCUUAAGUUUCUUCAUCAUUUCUUGUUGGACUUGUCGGAAAAGUGAAACCAUUGUAAUGUCGGAAGCUUCUUCACCAUUAGUUGUGGAGUCAUCACGCACCUCUAGCCCUCAUCUCCGUCAGGUUAGAACCAUUAUGUGUUUAGUGUCAAUAGCUCUUUUGCAUGCAUAUUGUCUUCUUCUUUAUUUAUUUAUUAAUUUGAAUCACAUAAAUUACACCACUUGAAUUGGUGUCCUCCUUUCAUUUAUUGCAUCAAUUCAUUAUGAAUUGGUAUUAUUAAAUUUAAGUCGAGAGUUAAAUUAGUGGUACUCUUAAAUUAUAAAUCAGUGAGAUGGCAAAAAUAAAAUAAAAUAAAUUAGACUGGAGCAACGGAUGAAUAUUAUUAUUUUUGUUUUUUUUGCCAAAAAAAAAAAAAAAAAACCAAAGCCUAAGAUAAUUGCGUAGCAAAAAGAGUAACUGAAGAGAAGAAUAAAAGUGACGGGUUUUGUGAAAGCCAAACUGAAGUACCGAAGAGUCUUAGAUGCAAAACAAAUGUCUUUGUAUUUUCAAGAAUGUAAGUAAAGAGGAGAGAGAGUUGGAAAAGGUAAAUCAUGUGGUUGGUUGAUGAAAGAAUAUUGUUUUCCUUUUUAAAUAAUAUCAUAUGCAUUUUGAGUCAUUAGAUGGCGAAUCAUCUAAGGAUUAAAAAAGUGUGUAUAAAUAUGUGAUUUUUUGUGUUCCCUGAUUUUGACUCUAUAAAAAUAUAUAUAUAUAUAUAAAUAUGUGAUUUUUUGUGUUUUCUGAUUUUUUGUGUGGUACCGGCCUAAGGCUCUCCGAUGCUUUAGUAAGUACGGUUUUAGUAAUGUUAACUGACAGAUCAAUCGGUAGCGUACCGUUCGUUCUCCUCCCUUCCUUUUGGGGAUAGGGGUCUUCUUAUAUAGGCCUUGGGAGGUGUGCACUGUGCUCAUAUUUCCGAUGUGGGACUGUGGAUGCGAAUUGUGAGUAUGACACGUGUCCGGUAGUAAAAGGGUCAAAAUGGACGGCUUCGGUAGGCAAAGUGCCGAAGGGUUUCUGCAGCCAAUAUCGAUUCUGUCCACGUGUUCGGUGGUCAUAGGUCAUUUAUUUCCGGUAUAAACAAUAUAUAUAUAUAGCAAAUUUGAAUUUGGGUACAAGAGGAUGGAUGCUAAACUCUAAUCAAUUGGCGUACUAUUCCCUCUUUAUUUUGUUGACCCCAGGAGGAGAGAAUGGGACCAAGCACACUAGGAAUAAUGUUCUGGACUCUCCUUUGUUGGAUCAAGUUGACAAGAGUUUGUUUAAGGCCCAAGUAAUAGGCCUUGAAAUGAUCCAAUUUGUAUUUGCCAUAGGUGUACCACUGUUGGAGCUUGGCUCAACCCAAUAGAAAUAAGAUUAUUUGAUCAAGGAUAUGCAUUUAGUGAUUUGCGCAUUAUAAUCUAACUUUUAAUCAAGUCAUUGUGCUAUGAAUGGGGAACUGGCUUAGAUUAGUUAUGUUCUAUGCCUUGUAUGACUUAAGGACUUUUUAAAUUCUACUUUUAUAAGCUGGUACAGGUGAAAUCCUGAAGAAUUAGCCCCUGAUUAGGCUAGAGAUGUCCUAAUCGGGCUAGAUAUAAGUAGAUCAAAUUGCAAAGUAUGGAGCCAAUUUCUAGCUUUUUUCAAUCUGAUAUGAGGGAAAACAAGUAAUAAAUGCUAAAUAAACACUUUUAAACUUAAAUUCAAUUGGAAGACAUGAUUUGGAACUUAAGAUUUCUCUACUCAUUUCAUUAUCAAUGCAAACUUAAAGUAAAAUGACAGGAAAACAACUCAGAAUUGAGGAUUUCUUGAUUUAAUUCAUUGCAGUCAUAAAUUUGAAUGUAAACAAACAAGUAAAUCUGAUAAAUUGAAGUACUAUUGCUUAAAAUGAACAAAGCCUAGCCACUAGGAGUCGAUACCAAGUGUUGGCAGAGCAAUAAACUAAAAAAUAUAACUCAGGAGUUGUCAACUGGAUCUCUUGGUGCAAGAGAGGUUUGUUGAGUUCAACGAGAUCAAGUCUUGACCGAGUGUGAAGUUUGUUUAUGAGAGAAAAGCUAUGUGUUGAGAGUUGUGCUAUGCAUCUAUUUAUAGGCUCCUCGGUUCUUGAAUUUGCAUGCUUGGUGAAAACAUGGUUGAGUAUGUAUCAUUUCUUUCUUUGCGAUUAAAAAUGGUGAACCAUUACAUUGAUUUCUGCACCGUCGAUGGUGGCUUGUCCCAACAUGGCAUUUUCUUCAACCAAUUGGUGUAGUAUACCUUCAUGGUUCAAAUCGCAUUUAAUGCGGUUGCUCAACCUUUCCCUUCAUUGUUUAACUUUUCCUAGCUGUCAAAGUCAACUUUGAGUUUUAACCUGGAUAAUCGCACCAUUAACCGGGUAAAAGCAAUUUUGAGUUAUAAACAAUGGCUUUAUUUUGGAAAAUUAGAAAUAUUGGGCCUGCUUGACCUUGGGCCUAUACCUCUAGGUAUUUAAUUCUAUGAAUUCGAGCAGCCUAAGGCCCAUUAUGAUUUAAAAUCCAUAAAAGGGUUUUUUUUUUUCCAUUUUCAGCCCAAACAAUUUCUCUUUUCUUUUCUUCCAAAUUAUGUUUUGUUUUAGCUCUGAGUGGCAUUGGACCCGGAUGAGAAAAGAACAAGCUCUUCUUUGAGAAAAGAAUAUUAUACAAGCAAAGCAAAGCAUAGUUAAAGUAAGAAAUAAGUUCCCAAUAUUGUAAUUAAAUUUCUUGCAAGCCCCUUGUGAAACAAGUUAAAAGGAUAUUAGGCCUUUCAAAGGUCCCCUGAAAUUCAGCCACUGCUGAUUUUAUGUGAAAAUAAGUUACAUGAAAUUUUUUACUGCCAGCUAAAGAAGCAUAUACUUGGCAAGCUUUUAUGACUGAUAUGAGGAUUUAUCUCACAGCAUCCAUCCAGGGAUGAAACCGUUGACUUGUUGGGCAUGAGUUGUGGCACUCAUCUGCUCUGACCCCACAUUAGAGUACCUGCAAAUUCAAAGUUAAUCAAUUAGGAUAUAUAUGGCUAUUAAUCAAGUUUAAAACACACUAAUUAAGAUUAAUUACUUAAAAAUUACAUCUUUACCCUAUUUGCAAGGUGGGAUUGCAAUCCAAGGGCUGGAAGAACCCUUGAGAUUGAGCAUGCUGGCUCCCAUAUGCCAUACCCCCCUGGUUUCCACCUUCCCAUGAUUGUCUAAUUUGGUUUCUUGAACUAAUGUCAUCCAACUGCAAUAUGGUAAUAAAAUUCAAUGUAUUAUGUAAAUUGGUUCUAUGUUUUUCAUGGUUUUGUUUUGAAAUUACCUUCAAUGACAAAUCCCUGUUUGCUUCUAUUAACAUUUGUUCCUGUAAUUAGAACAAGUUAAUUAAUAUUAUAACCACAUGAAAUUGCAAUGCCUUGAUGAUAUCUUCAAGACAUGGAGGCAGAUUUAUAUAUGUGUACCUUAUUUUGAAGGUCAGAAAGUUGGUCCAGCAUAUACUGAGUCUGCAUAACAAGAUGAGAUAACAAUUAAUGCAGCAACAUCUGCAUGUAAAUGUAAAUGAUUGAAGUUGACAUGUUACCUUAGUGGACCUAACUUGCUUCAAGGAGGACUCCAGUUGACGCUCAAGCUGCUCAAGCUCCUUUGUGUUUAAGGGACCCAAGUCUUCUCCAAGAAGGUUUCUACAGAAUUUAUAAGGAGAAAUGAUUAAUGAGUUACCUAAUCAAGUCAGCUAAUUCUAUAAUUUACAAAGUAAGUACCUCUGAGUUCGUUGUAGGGACUCAAAUCGACCUUUCAGUUUCAAGUACUCGCGGUAGCUGCUCUGCUACGCAUGAACCGAAACGAAAAUGUAUUAGCCGCAUUCUAUUAUAUGAUCAUCUAUAAGCCACAUUCCAAAAGCAAAGUAAAAGUUUAUAUAUAUAAUUUGGCAAAGUAGCAAUUUAGGUGCUACCUCAAGUUCCUUGGCAGGUUUGUUGACUUCCACUUGACCAUAACUGCACUUCUGGUACCUUUCCAGUGUUUUGAGUAUGCUGCUGAAGAAGAAGACGCAGGGCAAUAGCAAAAGGAAAAAGAAAAAAGAAAAAAGAGCCAAUUAGGAUACUACUGAAAAUGAAUUAAAGAUUCAAAAUUUUAUGUAUGAGAAGAACAUUAUUAAACUUCUUCUUUCUGCCUUGCACUUUACUUUGCAGAAUCUGCAGACCUUAAAUUCUGAAGGCUGACCAAUUUAUGAAGCCUACUCAAUCUAUGGUUGUUGCUUUAAAAUUAGGAAACCCUACCCUAUAUGGCACUUUAGGAACAUCUAUAACCACAUGUUGUAGAACUAUUUUCCCACCAAAAGACACCUAUAUCCAAAAUACCACUAGCCAAUUGACAAAUGAUUGCAUAAAGUAUAUAUAUAUAUUCACUAAAAUAAACAUUCAUACUCCAAUUUAUACUUACAAGCAAUAGCUGAAGAGAAUUAAAAGUUUUGAAAAAUGAUACUCUAAAAAGAAAAGUUUUUACAUGACACAAUAAGAACAAGCUAGUUGAUUUCCAUGCUUCGAUGGAAGCAACAACUAGUGAUAAAGAAUCGAUUUCCAACUCCUUUUUUGUACAUUAAACAAGAAGAGGUCAUAUUGUAGAGAGUAGAGUACUCCAUCACAUAAACCAUUCAAUGUCAAACAACAAAUCGAGGAAUUUGCUCAUCUUACUCGAGAAGGGUUUAAAAUUUUGUACAUUAAACAAGGAGAGGUGUCAUGAUAGGCAAUUUUAUGCAUUAUGUUUUCUAAUUACUUCUGGAUGCAUUCAAGCAAGAUUAUACAUGUCGAUGAAUUAAAACUUACAUAUCAAACAAGGGGAAUUCUCCAAUAAGUAUUUAGGUUAAAGAUUAAAAGUUACAUAUUGUUAAUUUUGGCCGUCGGAUUGCAUUCAUUAGAUGUGUUGGUAGAUUUAAUAUGCAACAUACAUGCAAUUCAAAUGUCGAGAUUAGAAAUAUGUAACCAAUCCUUAACAUAAAAUACUUAUUGGAGAAUCUCUCAUCAAACAAUUUGACAAUAACAUUUUUCUCUACAUCCUAAUUACAAGAAAACAUAAACCCAAAAAAUCUUAUUUUAGUAUUAGAGUAAAUGGAUUUAUGUUAGUAGUCAUCAUUUCAGUUAAGCCAAACAAAAGAAUUAUAUUAAAAGAAAAAGAUAAUGACAAGCAAAUUAAUUGAUCGUAAACAUCACCACAGCUAUGCUUGUCACUCGUAUAUUCGUGAAACUCUCUUUCCUUGAACCAAGUUCAUGACUCUGACAGCUCUAACAAUUCAUGAUUUCCCUUUCAUAUAUAUUGAUGCAACAAAAGUUCACUAAUUCUCAAGAAACUUCAAUCUUUUGCAUUUCAAAUUUGUAAACGAUCUGUUGCAUUAGACCUGUUCAAUCCCGACUUCGUGGUUAUGGUUGGCUUAUGCUUAUCAAACAUGUCAAAACCCUAGAAUGUUGGCUCAUAUGCACAAUCAAAAGUAUAAUUUACAUAUAACAAUAAACAAAGAAAAAAAACUGAACAAAUCUUGAAUGCAACAAAUGGUUCACCACACACUUUUCUUUAAGAAGUGGCCAAGCAAAAAGAAAAAAACUUUUUUUCCAAGUAGUUCAUGAUUUGAAAGAAGUCACUGGUUGUCCGCUGUAUAAUAGAUAGGGUUUUUUUCAUUGAUAAAUGUGUCAAUUUUAUACGGAUUUCAGACCAAGACAAUCAGAAGAAGGAACUUUAAAUUCUCUAGCCAUGCCAUCGAACUCCGAGUCCGAAAUUCUAUACCAAAAGAAAUAUAGGAUCAUCAUGAUCUCAGGCUUUUGAUACUCACACACACCUUUGCAACCAAUCCGCCAAUUCUAUCUUUCACUCAAUCCAUUCACACAAAGGGAACCAGAACAAGUUAGUGCAAAAGAUAAUUAAGUUUAUAACUCUUAAUUUGUAUCUAAUUAUAUAAAUUUUAAUUCUAAAGUAGGCAAAGGGGAGAAAUCAAAGGCAAUAUUUUUUUAGCUACCAAAAACAAAAGGGACAAUAUUUUCUGUCCAUGAAGAACCAUAUAUUUACUAGGGGAAAAAAACUCCAAAGAGAAAAAGAAUGGGAAUCCUUGUGAUUCAGAUCCAGUAAUGCAAGAUUUAGUACCCAAAAAAUUUGAACAAAAUAUCACUUUGUGAAAUCAGAUAAUAAUAGAAUUAGAUGAACAUCCAACUUUUUUUUUUCUUUUUUUUUGAAGCUUCAAUAAAUCACAAGGGGAAAAGAAGAAGAAAUGGAAAUUAAAAUAUGCAUCAUCAUGAGUAAUUAAUAUUUCCAACAUAGCUUUAAAAAUUAAAUUGAACAAAAAAGAGAGAAACUUUGUGAUAAGCUUUUGCACUUGUGGAAGCAAAGAUCUCAUAUGGAUCCCAAUGAAACCCAUGAAGAAAUAAAGAAUUUAUAUCAUCAGCCUUAUGAAAUGAAUUAAUCAAACCAAAAAGAGAGAAACUUUGUAUAUGAAAGAUGCAAGCUUGAACUUGUAAAAGUAAGAUCAUAUGGAUCCCAAAAACCCCCAUGAAGAAAUCAAAGAAACUAGAGAGUAUAAUUAAACAGAUCCAACUCAUAUAAAUCUAGAAAGAAGAGAUGAGAUGAGAGAGAGUGAGUGAGUGAAUGAUGUGUGUUGAGUAACUAAAAUUUACCUAGAGCUGCUACAGAACUCAUAGAGCUUGCCACGGUUAGAGAAGAUGAUGAGAGCAACCUCAGCAUCACAGAGAAUAGAGAGCUCAUAGGCUUUCUUCAGAAGCCCAUUUCUUCUCUUUGCAAAUGUGACUUGCCUGUUUAUCUUGUUCUCUAUCCUCUUGAGUUCCACUCUUCCCCUCCCCAUGUCCUUGCCAGCUAAAAUAUUAUCCACCCAAUCAACCACACACACACCCCUUUUAAUUUUCUUUCCCUUUUUUAUAUAUUUUAAUUUCUUUUUUUCUAUAUAUCAAAGUUUUGAUCUCCACAAUAUUUUCUUUCCCUUUUCUUGUUCUUCUCUCUCUCUUUGGUACAAGCUGAUCCUCCUUUUCUAUGUCAGUACCAAACUGUAACCAAAUUUGUGUAAAACAAGAGAAAGUUAGAUACUCACUCAGUGGAAAACCCUAAAGAAAGAUAAGAGAGAGAGAGAGAGAGAGAGAGAAAGAGAAAGAUCAGAGCUUGUCUUGUAGCUUAGAGUUUAAGUUCUCUCUCCUGAGUUUUGGCUUUUAACCUGAGGUUCUAAAUCUACACCCAGAAACUCUGAAAUGAAAUUUAGGGUUGGUGUUCUUUCUAGUUUCGUAUAAAAUCUUUUCUUUUCUUUCUUUUGUACUGUUUCUUUGUGCUGAGAGAGAACUCAACAACCAAUCACAGCUUGAGCGCGUUUGGCUUUGUCUGUAUGUCUCCAUAUCUCCAUUUAUUACUUACUGUGUCUUCCUAACUCAACAAGACUUUUUUUCUGAAAGUGAAAAUUCACGUCUACUUUUUGCCAAAUUAUAUGCAUCAAUUCAUAAAUUUUGCAUCAUGUCAUAUUCAAGCUAAAUUCAUUUCAUCAAAAAAAAUAUAUGUAUCUGAAAAUAUAUUUAUGCUAUCUAAUAUUGCGCGCAGUCUGGCGCGUGGUAAUUUGUAAUUGUUUGACAUAAAUACUUAAUAAAUAAGAGGCUUGUAUGAUAUACUGUCCUCGUAAGUAGCAGAACGUCCUCACCUACCUUAAAACAGAUCUCCACGUGUUUGUUCUUCACUGGCUUAAUCUUUCUUUUGAGAAAAAAAACCGCCCUAAAUAAAAUAGAAAAAUAUUUGUGAGACUAAGUUCCUGCAACAUUACUAGUUUUUAUCAAAAAUAGCUAAAAUUUACCUCCUACUUUCAUAAAUGUCAAUUUUUAUAAAAACUUUCAAAAAAUAGCAAAAAAAAACUCACUUAAAAAAACUCAAAUGCCCUCAAAACUAAAACCCACAUCAAUCUAAAAAGCAAAGCCUACAUCUCUGUUUUCAAUUUGAUUUCAAAAAUAAAAACAAAGUUUCAAUCAAUUAUAUCAUUGGAGGAUUGAACCAUGAAUAUGAUUUCCAACUUGUAAACUCCCCUAUGUUUCGAUCAAUGUUAUAUCAUUGGAACAGGAAGGUACCAUCGAAGCAAUUAGAAGGGCAUCAUCAAACACGGGACUUUGAGCAAACAUAUGGUGAUCAUGAUUCAAAUAACUUAUGCUUGUACCAGCAGUUGUACUGCUAUACAACUCAGUGAAAGAUAUAUAGGCUUGGGGCCAAUGUAGGGAAGCUUCAUGGUUCAAGUCCUUCAAUGAUAUAACAUUGAUCGAAACAUAUAGGGGAGAUUAUAUGUUGAAAAUCAAAUGAAAACAAAGAUUGCAGGUUUUAUUUUUUGGGAGCUUUAGUUUUAAGAUACAAUAUAGGUUUACGUGGCUUUAGUUUUGAGGGCAUUUGAGUCUAUUUAAGUGAGUUUUUUGCUAUUUUUGAAAGAAAAAAAAUUUUAAACUGACAUUUAUGAAAAUAAGGGGUAAAAUUUGGCUAUUUUUGAUAAAAACUUCAAUAUUACAUAAUUUAGCGGGAAAGAAAAAAAAAACAGUAUAACUAAAAAUAAUAUAAAAGGCAUGGGUUAGUUCAAGUAGCGGUAUAAGAGCCGUUACCUUUGCACUUGAGGUAUUGUGUUCGGCAUCCCACCUCCCUCAAUAUCACGUGUAUAAAAAUAUAUAUAACUUAAUUAUGGCUAAAGCGAUCAAGGUUUAUGUGUGUAUAAUACAAAUUACGAAUUGUCCAUGAGUUUUAGCUCAAGCGGCUUUCAAAUAAAUAGAUUUACAUCUAGGGAUCCUCGUUUCAAGUGUUGCUUAUAAAUUUAUAGUUGUAAUGUUUUUGGUCUGAGAAGAUCAAUGCAAUACUUCUGAGCUAGAAUGUAACCCCAAACAAAGUAUAACUACACAAAUGUAAAAGACAAUAACCAGUUUGAACCAGUAUGUUUAGAUAUUGAAAGAUCCAUUUCAAGAAAAAGAAAGGAAAAAAGUCUUCGAAAUCGUACUUAACCUAACCAUUAGCCUUAUGUUAUGUAUAUAUACAUACAUACAUACAUAUAUUUAUAUGUACAUAGUUAUGGCAGAUCCUCAUCCAAGGACUGGCAUUGAUUGUAUGAAAUUAAAAAGUACGAUCAAGAUGAAGAGUCCACAAGAUGCAUAAAUAGAAUGCCAAGGAUUAGUUAAGUUGUGAUGCUACAAAGCCAUAAAUGUUGCAUUGCUUGGACCAGAGGGCAAACCACUUGAGCUGAUACAAAAAGAAAAGGGCAUAUUCACAUUGUGUGGUCAAGGAAGAAAAAGCAUGUACUCGAGAAUGGGUGGUUUGGUCAAUUCACCACCAUAUUGCCCUAUGAGUAACACAACCCAUAUGGGGGGGUAGAAUAAUAAUCCAAUACCAAAACUGGAAAAAGAUGUAUGAUUUUCUUUCAAGCACUGCGCCAACUGAUGGAACAUAUAAGGCAUAUGUGUUCAAUGUGACGCAAUGUCUGCGGCCACAACAAAGAAGAAAUGGAAGAAAAAAUAGGGGUAGGUGGUGGGAGAGAUAUAUUUUUCUUGCGAUGGGUAGGUUUGAGAAAUUAGAUUAGAUCAGUUUUUCGAAUCAAGAAUAAUAUUUGCAUUUUGAGAGGUCCAUGAGUCCCCACCACUCCCUAUCACAAUGGGUUGAUUGCUACACAAGGGGGCAAAAAUGUCAUAGGAAAUAUAUUAUCUUCCUCUCAAGCCUCUGCAACUAAGAUUAUAUGUUUAAAUUCCCCUUCCCGACUAUUGCUUGUAUUAAAAAAAUUUCUAUAUAUAACUCUUCUAGAAAUACCUCAUCUUUCGCAUAAUGUAUGUUUUUUCAUAGGAUACAUAAUAAGCACAAUAUUAGCACCUAAUUAAGAAAAAAUUAACCUAAGUGAGCUAAAAUAUCAGCAACGGAGGUAUAUUUAUAAAAGUUGGUGACAUGACUCAAUGUUUGUUUCGAAAGGAAUACAUAUGGAGUUAAAGAAAGGCUAGUGUUUGGUAAGCUAGGAGGAGGAGGACGGAUAUUUGAAGUUCCAUGCUUGGCCAUGGGUAUAUAUGUAUCAUAUGAUUAAAGAUGCAUGAGCACAAUUAUUCAAUGGACCCCACCCUAAAUUAUUCCUCAUUAAUUUAUCGUGGAAUAUAUGAAUGAUUUGACCCCCUCCUCCAAAGACUAUAUUUAUGUCCACCGUUGCUUCAAAACUUAGACCCUGCCUAAUAAUAAGCAUUAAUCCAGUUUAAGUAAAAUGUUGGUCAAAUAUAACCUAAUAUUUUGUAAACAUGUGUUGUCGGAUUGUUAAUCCUGUUUUUAAGUUAGCCCACAUGUUAAUGCAUUUUUACUUAAUCGUUUUUUUUCAUAUAAGCGAUUUCAAACACAAACGUAACUUUUCUCUAACCACUUAAAUUAUAAAUCUCUUAUAAUUUUAAGUUAGUCCUUAAUGUAAACUAACAAUAACCAAAUGCAAUUAAAUUAAAGUUGAGAAUUUUGUGCGUAAAGUUUAUUAUUUGAGAAAAGAAAUUGAGUUCCUAAAAGAUAGUGAUGAUGCGCCCAAGCAAAAGCCAAAUCGAACUUAAACCAGUUAAACACGCGUUUCCAUAGGAAGAUCGUUUUAUGUUUCGAGUGUCCGUUAGUUUUAGAGGAGAAACGCUGUUUUCCAAGUCCAAAGUUACUGCUUUAGUGUCAAAGCAGCACUCUUCCACCUAUGUGUCGAUCAGGGAUUGGGGGUUCAGAACAGUGCCAGGUGACGGACAUGAUUGAUUGCAAAACCUUGGCCAGGCGUCCGUACACUCCCAACGGCGUUUACCUGGAAUAGUGAAAGACCCUGCAAGUACACGUGUCGCGAAAUGACAACGGAAAUAAGACUAAUUGAUGUUUUCGCAAUCGGACGUCUUAUCGGACGCGUGCUGGGAAAAGCAACUCCUUUGCCUCUUUGAUUAUUAUGGCACUCAGGUCUAUUGGUAUACGGUAAACUAGCAAUUUUUAUUUUUAUUUUUAAAAGAAAAGUAUUUCAAAAAAAUCCGCGAUGGAUUUGAUGACCGUACAAAUCAAAGUUAAUUCGAUAAUUAAUACUCAUAAGAAAAUGAUGAAAAAUAUUAUAAAGAAGAUCCGCUACCAUAUUAGCUUCUCGAUAAAUAUGCUAAAAAGAGACAUGAGUAUAAUUUUGUAGCAAGUACCAAAUACCGUGCGUAUGAUUGAUUAUUCGAAUUGCCUGAGGAGCUGGGAUUUGUUUCUUGAGAAUUCGAAUUAGAAUCUUGGAAUUCCCUUCAAUUUCAUAAUACUUUAGAUGCAAUCGAGUAGUUUUCAUUAAUUGAGGAGCACUACAUUGCCAUUGCCAUGGCCAUGGCAGUAAGUAAGACUCUAGAUUUUAUUUCUAUAGUCUUUUGAAGUAAUUUCAUACCAAGAUAAAUUUUGCACGGAAAGUGAAUGAAGGUGUAUGGGGUGAAUAAGAUAAAUAAUGAAAUUAGAAAAACUUUGAUUUCUUUUCUUUUUGUAUCCCGUUUAUUUAGUAAUUCAUUUGGAUUUAACCUUCACUUCCUCAUAGAGAUUUAUUUCACCUUCACCUCCUCCUCGUAGAGAUUUCAAGGGUUAGGGUAUUUAUUUCCUGACCAAAAUUUACAGAAGAAAUAUGUAAUUUUGUUCCGAUAUCGUUGGAAUAGUAGCUUUCACCGAUCAAGACUUUGCACCUAAACCUGAUCAACAUUGCAUAUAGCAGGGGCUUACCAAAUGCAUUCAACUAGUGCAGGAUUAUCAUAUCAGUGAAUUUAGUCAAAUUGGGCAAUCCAAUGAAUUGAAUUCACAGCUGCUCCAUGCACCAAACAACAGGCAAUAGCUGAUUCAUGGUGCCUUGUCACUUCGCAACAUCUCUGAGUUCCUACAGGGUCCCUCGUUUGGAAAUGCAGCAUAGCACAAAUGAGAUUGAGAUUUGAUUUUUCCAACUAACAAAUGGUGCUGUGCUUUAAAGCUUUGCCACAAUACAACUCAGUAGAUAUAAGUUAAGAGGCUUUCUUUUUGGGGUAUGUAUGUCUCACAGGUCCACUUCAAGUUCAAGGGUUGUUGCUAUGUGUGUGCAAAUUUCAGAAUCUUAGAGGCAUUUUGUCAAACCACAGCCACAUGUAGUAUAAGUUUGUUACAGAGGGUAGGUUUCAGAAAUAUGAACCCCCCGCAGCCCCCCCGAAAGCUCAGCCACAUUUUUACGUCUACUCUGCCUAUGAUGUGUGGAAGUAAAAAUGGUGACCACUUACCAUGGUAGGAGGGAAAAUCACUACCAGUUUUGAGAUCAUUUUUUCUAUUUCUUCCAACUAAUGCUCACAUUCAAUACAUAUACUAAGUGCUAUAAAGUUUGUAUGAGAAAGGGAUAACGCGUGCUAACCUGGUAUCCAUUCAAAGAACCUUUUUAUGAAUUUCAAAGGGUAUAUAUACUUUCCUACUGAGUUGCUAUCUUUGGCAAAAGCUUCCUUUUUACUACGACUCCAGUAAGGACCACUGACUGAUCUAGAUCUCUUCCAGCUCGCAAGUCGCUUCUUAGUAAUUUCGCAUAAAUAUCCAACAAAAGUUAUCUACCAUUUCGUCUUACAACACAGCACAUCUUAUAGCCUAAAGUUAAGCAGAUAUUUCCUAGCUCAAACUCAAGAGACGUAUGAUGCUACUCCUAAUCAAAAACCAAAUUGACUGGAAAACUCAUAUCACAUUAAACAUGCAACAGAAGGAACACCUUCAGCAAAUAUAAGCCACUAUAUCUACUGACCACAUAAGAAAUCAAUAACAGAGGCCGCCGGAGGGGAGAGGGGAUGCUUUUCGUCUGACCCUUAAAUGAAUUCUGUAUGAGGCCCCCUGACUUCUUGUGUAUAGGGUAUCAAAUCAUAUUCAAGCAUAAGCAUAACAUCAGAUUUACCAAGGAUGAAUAUGAUUCAAUUUGGGGAUUCAUCUUGCUAGGGAGCAGGGUAAUAAAUAUGCAGUCUCUAGAAUUGACAUGGAUGGCAAACUAUCCAUGUAUUACAUUAUCUGUGAUAUCAACAUAAAAACGAUUUUGUAAUGUAUAUAUCUCUACUGUCUAAAGUGGGUUCAUAAACUUCCUUGCUCUAUAUCAUGGGACAUUGAUAAAUCAUUUUAAGAUAGCACAACUAGCGUAAGAAAAUUUUAAUUUAGAUGACUAAAACAAACUCAAACAGAUGUUUUAGAGCAAUCAGGGCAGCUAAAAUGACCUCUAGCGUUACAGUUGGUGCAAGAAAUGGAUCUUACUUUCGAAUCACUACCCCCAACCGAUUCAUAGAAGUCAUCAAUGAGAUUUAAACCAAACACUCCACCUUCUUUGAUUAAUCCAACUCCUUUGCAUCUUGAGCAUGCUAUCAUCCUCAGAUUGCCACAUCUCUUGCACAUUCCCAAAGAACUGAAUAUUCAAAGGAUUCAUUCAUAUACAGCACACAUAAAUCAGAAUGCACAAAUACAUAAUACACAAAUCCCACAAGCAAGUAGAAACUGAAACUGGAGUUUUGUUGAAUUGAAAUUGAUUUUUAACCCACAUGAAAAAAUUUCAUUACAAGGAUAUUUAUCCAAUUCUUUGAAACUAAUUACAACUUGAUGAAGAUAAUGGAGCUGAAAUGAACUCAAACAUUAGAAAGAGUCAAAGACAAGCCUUUUGUGAUGAAUUUUGGAAAUGGGUACUUACCUGCGCUGAGAGGCAGAGAUGAAAGCGUCGACCUUUGGGGCAGCAAUGGUGGCACAGAGGAGCAGAGCCCCAACUCCAAAACCCGCCAGCUCGCUUGCCGUUAUGUUAUUCAUUUUUGCUCUCUCUCUCUCUUUCUCUCUCUCUGUUUUCCUGUCCCAGCUCUUGCUGAUAACUGAUAUUAACCACCUUAUCUGAACUUUCAGAUUAUUUGUCGGUUAAUAUUCUUAUCGGGGCUCGAGAAACCAUCAACGGCCUAUUAGCUCAGCUGGUUAGAGCGUCGUGCUAAUAACGCGAAGGUCGCAGGUUCGAGACCUGCAUGGGCCAACUUUUUGUUUUGUUUUUCUUCGUGUCAUUUUGGUCAUUUCACCAUGGCCUAGGCUUUGUCAUGGGUUGAAAACUAUUGUCUUAGCGGGCUUGACCUACACAUUCCAAGUCCCAUCUCACGUUGUGUUAAAUGGCCCAUUUUUUGUCUCUUGGUAUUUUGGGAACCCAAAACUUAUUUUUAAUUCACUAAUUUACACGUAACCCACUUGCAUUUGUGUCUUGUUCAGUUGGCUAAGCAAAAGGAGGUGUAUAUGUCCUCUUCACAUAUGAUCUCGAUCUUCCUAUUCAUACAUUAGAGUAAUUAGAAUAUGGUUUUGUCAAAAAUUAAAAAAAAAACAUGUAACCUACUUAUUAGAGUAGUUAGAACAUCGUUUUGUCAAAAAGAAAAAAUAUAUAUAUAACCCACUUAUGUUCGAUUUUUGUUUUUCAAUGAAAACUAUUUGUUUUUAUGUCAUUGAUUGGUAAUUACGAUUCAAUUUCAUCACCAUCUAUCUUUUUACCAAUUCUUGUCAUCACCAUCAGUGAUAAAGGUUCUUGCACUGUGUGUAGCUUCACUAAUAUUUGAGUCCCGCUGCCAAUAGUUCUUAUUGGUGCACGAUCUGUAAUUUUCUAUAUAAAUUCAUAUCAAUAGCAGUUGGCAGUGAGAGUAGCCAAUCUCCUCCUGAACUUUUAUUCACCGAAAAAAAAACUCUAAGAAGCGGUAAGAUUUUGAGUCGCUUUGAAAUUUUAGGAACCAACCAUUUGCACGCAUAUCUCUCUCUAUGGUUGAUGGUAACGAAAAGAAAAUGUAAAAAAAAGAGUGGCCAUGACACAUAUAGCACACUAGACGUAAGUAGUUUAAAUAUACUAGGUUCCAUCCAAUUGAUGAAACGUAAUCACUUUAAUUUUAUAGUAUUCAACUUUCAAGUGCCUUUUCAUGGAUAUGCAUGAAUAUACGUCAGGCUCAGCUCUUUUAAUUAGUUUCAGGGUUAAACUCUUCUGCUACAUACAUAUUACUAUUGACUAGACGCCUCUCUUUCGCUUCAUCGAUCAAUCAGAAGAUGUUCUUGUCAAUCAUCUCCAGCCAUCAGCUUUCAACUUGGUCAUUGACUGGUCAAGAUUUGGUCACUUUAAAAGUCAAUCCCAGUCAAAAUUGGGAAAUUAGAUGUACAAAUAUUUGACCAAAAAAUUAUUAUAAUGGCUCUCAUUGCUCAUGCAAUUUUGAUUUCUCCAUUGUUGCAUGUAUGAAAUGAACAUGAGGGCAAUAUAAAGCCUGUCAAUCUGACUAUACAUAUGAAUGACAGCCAUUUUGACUUUGCAUAUCUAAAUCCUUUUGCAAUUCUCAAAGAUCUGCAGAAGCAUGAUUUCAUGUGUAGGAAAAGUUUAUGUAAAAUUGUCUGCUGAUCAAUUCAUGAAACUCUGUUCUCUUUCUCUUUGGGAACAUCUUUUUUUCUUAUGGAAAUUACAAAACAGCUUUGUUGAUGAUCACUUAUCCCAAACCAACUUAAUGGAUAUCUUUGUAGAUUGAUUGAUACAUGGCAAAUGCAAUGGAAAUACAUUGGUAUGAAUAAUAAUAAUAAUAAUAAUAAUAAUAAUAAUAAUAAUAAUAAUAAAAAGAAUAGAAAAGAGGGAUGAGCAUUUGGUUACACAAAUCUUAUUUAUUAUAUGUAAAUCAAAAUUAACAAUAGUGCAAGUACAAUAAUAAACCAACAUACAGAAGUUCAUAGAAUUAAUUAAUUAGGUAUUAUAAAAUAAUCUGGUACCAAUUAAUAGAUAAUAAAUCAGCCUUCUUAGAUUCUUAGAAGAUGUAGCCUCCAUUAUAGAAUGUGUAAGAGUGAUCCCCUCCAGAAGAGAAAGCUGUGACUGCUGCUUGAUUCUGCAUGGCUGAUUUGUUGCACUGGCUUAAGCUUGUGUUUCGAUCCAUUCGACCGUUUACAUGCUCAUCAUCUAAGUUCCAGAGGCGCCCCAUAUAUAAGCCUUCUUCUCCUAAUAUAUCCGCCCAAGACCCUACACUUCCUUGGUUCAUCAACGCAGGCAAGCAAUAUUGGUCCCCCUCCAAGUUGGGGUAGCUGCUGCUAAUAAGAUCCAUAUUAUUCUCUUGCCUUGCUUGUGCCUCAUGAUCAGUAGUCAUGUUAAUGUUUUCUCCUUGGCUUGCUUCCGAUUGUGGCGUGGCUCGUAUUUUCAGGUUUUGAUCUUCCUGCAGUUGUUGUUGUUGUUUUGCUAGAAGAAUUUGAGCUUUUCGUUUCUCUUGCUUUUGAGUGCAUUUCUCUUUCUUUUUGAAAUGAGUUCUCCAGAAGUUCUUUAUCUCAUUGUCUGUUCUUCCUGGCAAGUAUCUAGCAAUGGUAGACCAUCUGUAUACAAUAUUCAUUUCACAUAAUUAUUUAAUCUAGCUAGACUGCACAGACAGACAGACAAAGCACAGGACAUCAUUAUAUUGCUUACUUGUUACCCCAUAAAGCAUGCAAUUCAAUAAUGAUGCCUUCCUCCUGAGGUGUUAUAUGGCCUCUCUUUAAUCCAGGCCUAAGAUAAUUCACCCAUCUAAGUCUGCAACUUUUGCCACUCCUGUUCAAACCUGAAAAAAAAAAAUUAACCCCAACUGAGCUUUAAAAAAAACAACAUGAAAUUAUUAGAAGUUAAUUAAGAGAGUUUAAUUUAAUUACCUGCACACUUAGCCACACAACUCCAUCUUCCCUCUCCAUAUAAGUUGACAUAUUCAUUGAGCAGCUUGUCUUCCUCUGGUGUCCAAGGACCUUUCCUCCAUCCUUGUUGUUCUGCAAAUCCCCAACCCAUCAUUGUUACCAUCCUUCCUUUCCUUGGUUUCACUUCAAUUCAACCCAGCUGUUUGUUGUCUCUGUAUUCUUUGACACUUAUUGCACAAUGUGCAUGGCUAGUUACCUUCCCUCUAUAUAUAUGCAUGACAUAUAUAUAUCUCCUCCUACCUCUGAAACAGUGACUCUUUUAAUAUUGUUUUCUUUGAUGAUCUCAGUCAAGAUCUUUGAAUCGAAUCUAUGCUUCAGUCUCUCAUCAUAUCAAGAAAUUGACCUUUCCAUCUACAAAUCUGAGUCCAAGUGUUGAGAUAUGGUGUGUCAACCAGCUCAAUAUACUUUCAAACAAUCAGACCACAACAGGUGUGCCUUCCCACUCCUAGUUGCCAUACACAAUGACGUCACCAUCAAUAUUAUUCCCUCUGCAUAUAUAAAAUACAACACAAACAAGCCACAUUGUGUUCCAUUGUUUUAUUUUUCUUGAUGGUGAAAUUAAUCUGUCAUUGUUGAGAUUAGUGGGUUGUUGAUGUCUCCUUCGAAAGUGCCUUUGAUCCAACUGGUGUGUAACAUCUGUGGCAAAAGUAUUGCACGAUUGAUUAGCAUUGUUUAUGGUUAAUGACAUCUAUUAAUUAAAUUUUUUAAGCACAGAGAAGUUUCUAGCAUUCCAUUUGUGGUAAUGGGGCACAUAAAGUUUUGAAAGGGCCUUGAUGAGUCACCUAUCCUACACCUGGCUCUUGGACUCUAUCUAACUAGCUUAUUUGGAAAGUUGGGAAGUGCUUAAUUGGUUUAACUGAUUUUUUAAAAAGCAUUCUAUGCCUAUAUAUAGUAGGUAUUGAUGGUUACAUAAACUAUAUAUUAGUAUUUGAGCUUUGGAAAAGAUUACAUAAGUGUUCAAGAUCUUGUCGAGCUUAAAGAUUUUACAGAAUGAAAUGCUUGAUUUGAUGGGGCCAAAAUGAAGAUAGCCUUUGCUUCUCUCCUAACCCCUUUUGAGUAAUGUUACUUCAUCAAUGACCACGAAACCCAACUUUACUUUGGAUAAACUGGGAACUAUCCCUUUCAAAUCUACACAACCUAUGUAUUUGUUCAUGCAUCUUCUGAAAAAGAAGAAGAAGAAGAAGAAGAAAUGAUCUUUGUGCUAAAGUGGAUGAUAUUAUAUGGUUUCUAGAAGGAUCUAGUUUACAACCUAAAUGAUAUUGUAAAGGGUUCCAAUAAUUUCAUUUUGGGUACAAUUUUAUGGAACUUAUAUUUCUUUCCACAUAGCAGAGAGCAGAUGUACAUAUUGAGCAAAAUAAUGUAGCAGCUAAUGAGUGGUAUUUUCUUUAUUGUUAAACUAAUUGAACUUUGUUGAUUAAAUUUGAUCAAAUUUCUUUUUCCUCCUUUUCAUGAUGGCUAAGAACUAAAUGAAGAAAUGGUCCCCCACUGCCCUUUUUGACAUAUUGAUAUUUUUCACAAGAGUUCAAUGGUUAAAGAAACUCCACUACAAUGUGUGGAGGAUUAACAAUGCAUGCUAAAAGGUACAAACAAUAAGACUUUUAGAACUCAUAAGAAGGAUUGCAUCAUUGCCAUAAGUUAAAGCAUAUGGAGUCAUUCCGGUGGUAGACUUUUUUGAAAUUUUAUAUGCCCAUAAAGUUUCUGAUAACUCUUUUUUGAAGUUAAACCAUAAUUUUUUCCGUUAUUGUCUAUUAAAAUUAAUAUUCAGAUUAUUUGGGCUUUUUCUCGGGUCACAAUUUAGAGGCCCAAAGUCCAAAACCGAGUCUAAGAUAACGUUUUGUUCAUGUGUGUCUUGAAGUUCGGAGGCCUAUAAAAAUAGGCGGUCCAAACAGCCUAGUAUUUACCAACUUUUCAAUGUGAAAUAGUGGGACUUCGGUGGGUCCGAUGUUGACCACUUUGGCUUAUAUGGAUUUACAUUUACAACAAAGUUUGAGUUUUGAUGCAAACGGGAUUUCGCUUAGUGUAAAAACGAGGUAUUGAUUUGCAAAUCAGUGAUUUUGGGUUUAAGAUUUUAACUUGUAAACUAGUGAUUUUGGAUUUAAAUUUUAUGACACCUUGGUAGUGUGUAUAUGAGAAAUCUCCCGUCCAUGUAGUAUAGACAAUCACCUGUUCUUAAACCAAAAACCAAAAAAACAAAAAAAAAAUUGAAUUUUGUCUGUUGCCAUGGUGAGGUCCGAAAGCAGCUGUAAGCUCAGGGACAAGGAGCUCUCUUUGGUUGACUAAUUAAAUUAGUAUGAACAUGCAACAAAAGAAAAGAGACAAAAUGAGGAACACCAAUUUUCGGUACAAUGUAUAUAAAACAAAACAAAAAAUAUUUGUGCAUCAACCCACUCACACGAAUAUAUAUAUCUGUACAUAAGAUAAAUCCAAUAGGUGCACCAAUUGUCACGUUUCUAUUUUUCUAAUUAUCUUUGUUAUUAUCUCCAUGGAUGAUUACAAUAAUGAAUAAGCUAAUUUGCCUUCGCUUAUUAACUUCUUUUCUUCUUCUUUUUGUUGUUUAUAUUUUUGUCUUUUUUCUCUCUCUCGGGUAUACGCAGAGAGAAGCAAAUUCACAAGUGAAGAUGACGAUGAGAUGGAGGGUUGUCGUCUUCGCUGGUUCUGGUUGAAAGAAGACGAUGAUACAAAAAAUGUUAAUGUGAGUGUGUGAAUGUGUAUAUAUAUAUGUAUAUGAAUCUUCUUUAUAUAAUGGAGUAACGAACAAGUGGCGGGCAUAUGCAUAUUGCCAAAACCAUUGGAAGAGCUCUUUUGUCUUAACUAAGUACUUAGGGCGCUUAAUUAAUAUCGAUUUCACGUCAUGCAAAUAUUCAUACAACAAAAUUAUACGAAGAAAGAUGCUAAGAAGUGCAACCUUUUUUUCCUCUUUUUUUUUCUUCUUCUGUAAUUAACUAUCUCAUUUGAAAUAGGCUUAGCCCAUGUAUGAGAUCAUGCUUCAAUGAAUCCUUUGGGCAAACAAAGUGAUUGGGAAAACAAAAAUAUUCUAUGUCUCAACCAAAGCUUGCUUGUACUCUUUCAUUUGGAGCUCUCACAUAAACUUACAAUUAGCAAAGAAUACAUUUGGAGCUCUCCCAUUUGGAGCUCUCCCAUAUAUGUCCAAGAGUAAAGCAUCCCUUUAAUCCCCACCUACUCCUCUUCUAGAUUCCCAUACAACCUUUAAAACCAACCCAAGCUCAAAGCCUCCUCAAACUUUAUCAAUUAACACGCAACAAGCACAAUUUUCUCUAAAUUAAGCAUACACAAGUCCAUCUUCAUGUAUCCAUCAUCAUCUUCUUCUUUUUUGUCAUCGUCGUCACCACCUCUUGAAGCCUUAAAGCCAGAAGAAAGAGGGUUACAUCUAAUCCAACUCCUCAUCAAGUGUGCUAACCAUGCAGCAUCCCGCAACCUCAAUCUAGCUGAUGAAUGUCUUUGCCAAAUCUCACGACUUGCGUCCUUGCAUGGCGAUUCCAUGCAAAGGCUUGCUGCCCGGUUUGCCUCUGCUCUCGCGUUCCGUCUUGUCAAGAAUUGGCCCGGCAUCCACAAGGCCCUAAACUGUGACACCAAACGGCCUAAACUAGAGUUGGACCGGGCUCGCGUCAUCUUCACAAAGGCCUUCCCUUAUCUCAGUUUUGCCUAUGCCAUCAUCGCCCGAACCUUGCUCCAAGCCAUGUCCGCCGAGCGGGUAAUCCACAUUGUGGACUUGGGUUCUGCGGACCUAAAACUAUGGGCUCCACUUUUGCAGAGCUUCGCAGCUUUGCCAGAUGGGCCUCCCCAUUUGAAAAUCACUUGUGUAAAUAGCAAUAAAGCUGUCUUGGAGAAGUUGGGCCCAAAGCUUGUAAAAGAGGCAGAGGCCUUCGACAUGCCAUUCCAAUACAACCCACUAAAUGUUAGCCUAAGAGAGUUGACAAAAGACAUGCUUAAGGUAAGGUCAGGAGAAGCAUUGGGUUUUGUCUCAAUUCUCAAUCUACAUGUCUUAUUGGCCCAAGAUGACCAAGCGGACGCACAAUUUAGGCCCAAAAAGAGCAAUAUUGAUGUCAAGGAUUGUAAGCAAAUGGGUGAGUUUUUAGGCAUGGUAAGGUCAAUGUCCCCAAAAGUGGUGUUGUUGGUAGAACAAGAAGCUCACCAUAAUUUGAACCAUUUGGUGGACAGAUUCAUUGAGGGCUUGCACUAUUAUAGCGCAAUGUUUGAUUCAUUAGAGGCCAGCUUUGGGGGCUUGUCUUCAUCAAGUGAAGAACGCUUCGUUUUGGAGGAGAUGUUUGGGAGAGAGAUUGAAAACAUUGUGGCUUGGGAGGGUGUGGAGAGAGAAGAGAGGCAUGAGAGAUAUGCAUGGUGGAUGGUUAGGUUUUGUGAAGUUGGGUUCAAACCUGUGCGCUUGUGGUUGGAUUCUAUGGAGGAUUCAAAGAAGGGUUACAAGAUUAUUAGCCAUGGAACAAGUUUGAUGAUUUGUUGGAACGAAAGGCCUCUCUAUGCUGUUUCUGCUUGGACUUGUUAGCUAGCUUAGCAUCAUAAUUUCUUUUUUUUGUUGCAAUUAAUUAUAUGAAUACAAGUGCUAUUAAAGAUCAAAUUUGGAGUUAAAAUUAGCAAUUCAAGGCUUUUGUUGUGUUGCUCCAAGUGAUGUUUAUUUAUUUGUGCACGAGGUUUUUUUUUUGGGUCAAAGAGGUUUUUUUUGGAGAUUCGGUUUAUUUAUUUAUUUUUAUACAAGCGAUAUUUUAUUUUAAACUAAUCUAAAUUAUGGAGAGGAGGAUUUGAACUUGAGUGCAGAAUGGGAAGCACAUCCGCUCUAGCCAACUUUGUUAAACACAUAUAUGCUUUAUUUUAGUUUUGAAAUAAGUUAAACAUUUAAUAAUUUAAUAGAAUUCAUAAGUUAAUAUUUGAGUCAUCAAUCUAUCCGGGAAAGAAGAACCUCCAUCGUGGAGGCUCCAUGACAUAAAAUAAUGCACUUGGUGCACGAUAUCACAUUUAUUUUUUAAUAAAUUAUUGUGGUUUGUCACGAAAUUUAUUACCUUACAUGCUUAAUUAAAUUACUAACCUCUUGUCAUGCGUGUGUUAAUUGGCCUUUUUAUUUAUGUUAAAAAAAUUUCCAUAUGCAAAUAUCAUUUGUUUUUUUACAUCAGGUAACUAUAUAGAUAUUUACAAAUAGAAAUAAUAAUAAGAAAAAACAGAAAAAAGAAUGUGGGUGGAGUGGGGAGUGAAAAGAGGAAUGUGGAUGGAGUGGGGGAGUAACUUCCAAUAUAAAAGAUCUAAAAACAAGUGAAUUCUCUUUUUUCUAUUGGAUCUUAGCGAAGCGCCCCGGAUUCGGGCUGACCCGACAUUCCAACCCACCCAUCGUCCAUAACUUCCCAGCUCAUGUUAGCAAAAAUCAACUAACAGCUGCUAAAGUGUGCCGGGUGAGUGAGGGUUAGGGUUUAAGCAGAAAAGAGAAAAAGAAACGUUUCAAUUUAUACGAAAAUCAAAAUAUUCUAAUAGCGAUUAGCAGCAGCAGUGAUAGGGUUUUCAAAAUAACAAGCUUGUGUGCUUUGUACAUAUAAAAGUCGUUAAUUUGAUGCUACUUGCACAAACUCUCAGGGUUCUUGCACAAAUUCUCAGACUCCAAACCAGAGCUUCAUAGGAAGAAGGGGAAGAGAAAGUCUCUUGCUUUUACAGUGUUACGUUUGUUCCCAACCCAGAAUAAGCUAGAGGGCCACCCAAGGAAGAUACCCAGAGCUUGUUUUUGCAUGAAAGUGAAGGAACAAUGACGACCGAUCUCAGUGAUUACGCCAUCAUUAAGGAAGGAGAGGCUGAGAUUCUGAUGCAUGCUAAAAACCAAGUCUUUUACAACAAAACUCAGGUGCCAAAAUCUUCUCUUUUCGAUGAUUUUUGCAUUGGAUUAUUGGUUUUGAUGGGUUUUUGAGAUGCAACGUUAGGGGUAUUGUGUUUUUUGAGUUGGUUAUGAAUUGGAAGUUUGUUGGGUCAAUGUUAGUUGUUGAAAAGUUGCUGUUGGUUGCUGGGAAAACAAUGCAGGACAAGAAAAGAAAUUAAAGUUUUGAAUUAAAGAAGUCCGAGAUGUUAAGGUGGUAUUUGUGUGAUUAAUAUUCGUUGAGGAAUGUCUGUGAGGGGGUCUUGGAGAUGAAAUGUUAUAGGUGUCUCACAUUUGAAAGCAUUUAGGUGAAGCAACGCCAAUUCACAUGUAUGUAUCUCAAUAGGAUUAUCAUUUAGGUUGAGUAUAUUUUUGUCUAAUGGAAAAGAAUGGAACGUCAGAGGUAUGUGUCGAUCCCAAACAAUAAUGAUGUUGAUGAUUGUUGCCUUAAGUGGGUUUCUUUUGUGCUUUUUGUUUUUGUUUCAGAACUUUAUAAAAUUAUUACCAGAUAUAAAUUGUGUGUCUCCCUAACCAUGGGAAAAAGAAUAAAGAAAAUGAAAUAUCAAAAGUGAAUGCUCAUGGAUGAAGCGAGAAGCUGUAGCCGUCCGCACAUAUUAUACUUUUGGGCAUUCAAGUUGCUGAUCACUUUCUUAGAAUUUUAUAAUUUUGCGCGUUAUAGUUCUCUUUCCAGUUUUAACUUGUCUGCAGCCCAAAGUUCCUUGUUCUCAAAUAAAAACGUGUUUGUCAUCCACUGCUUUCAACUUUGACAUAUUUCCAACAUUUAACAGCCCUUGUCCAUUAUAUUAAUUGAACCUUUUUUAGUAUGGUAAAAAUGAUGUAGCCUAUGCUUUGCAAUAUAGGCGACUGUUAAGCUUUAACUAUUAGUAUUUGUUGGUUACAUUAACACCUCCAAUUUUUCCGGUUGGCUUUUAGAUUUCAUAAUAUAGAAGGAUCUUGAUUGUUUCAGUCUGUAAAAUUUAGGUUAACAACAGAGAUAUAUCAAUUGCGGUUCUGAGGGCAUUUAUUGAAAAACGCAAGGAGGAGCAUGUAGCAAGAUUGUCCAAGAAAACAAAAACAGCACCAAAGGUGUCUGAGAAAGAUGCUUCAAAUUCUGUUGUAGAAGAAGUAUCUAAUGAGUCUGAUAUUAUUGAUGAAAAAACGAAUGGAGAUUGUGAAGUGGCAGCAGAGAUAUCUCAAGAGGAACCAUGCAGCAUUUCAGAAGAACCGAACAAGGUCACAGAGGGAAAAGGACAAGUGGAACUGAAGCCACCAAGAGUUCUUGAGGUUUUUGCAUGAAUUUUAAUUUUAAUCAAUUAAUUAGUUUCUUUCAUAUUCAAAGUUUUGUUAUUGAAGAUGUAAUCGACAUUUCUCUUUUGUACCAUUUGUGUUCACAGGCCUUGUCGGCUUCUGGUUUAAGAGCUCUUAGGUAUGCUCGCGAAGUGGAAGGGAUUGGUCAAGUUGUGGCUCUAGACAAUGAUAAAAGUAAAUUUCAGGCUGUCUCAAUAUAUUGCAUCAAUAAUUGUCUAUAAAUGUAUAACAUUUUUGUGAUAACCUUAAAAAGAAUGAAUAAUUAAUGAACAUAUGGACCCAAAGAAUUAGAUAAGAUUCUAUUUCCUAUGUAAAUACAUGGUGGCAUAACUUAGAUAUAGCUGCAUAUUAGCUUUUCUGAUUAAUCGUAAGCUUCAUAACAGUAAUCACUAUUAUUUUCCUUCCUGCAGUUUCUGUUGAAGCUUGUAGGAGAAACAUCAAGUUCAAUGGUUCAGUUGCAUGUUCAAAGGUGGAAUCACAUCUUGCUGAUGCUCGUGUGCAUAUGCUCACCCACCCAAAAGAAUUUGAUGUGGUAUGCAUAUGUUGUUUCAUAUGUUUAUGUUAAUUCUCAAGGAAUUUUCAUUUAGAAUAGUUUAUCUGAAUAUGGUUAGCAAGUGCCAUAAUACCCCUAUGUUGAAUAAAAUAAAAUAAGCAAUAAACCCUAGACUGGUUGGUUUCAUCUCAAGGAGUUCUUGACAUAAACCACUAACAUACUCUUUGUUUGUUAUUGCUGUUCCAGGUUGAUCUUGAUCCUUAUGGUUCUCCCUCUGUCUUCUUGGACUCAGCGGUUCAAUCUGUUGUUGACGGAGGAUUGCUAAUGUGUACAGCAACUGAUAUGGCAGUGCUAUGUGGUGGUAAUGGGGAGGUUUGCUAUUCAAAGUAAGUAGUCAUACCUUUCUGCUGAUCUACUUUUGCUUGAACAUGUUUUCUGAUUCAUUGACUUAUCUAUCAAGAACUGUUUUGUGGUAUUAGAUACGGUUCCUAUCCAUUGAGAGGGAAAUAUUGCCACGAAAUGGCUUUGAGGAUCCUCCUAGCCUGCAUUGAGGUAUCAUUAUGUCUUUGAUUAUAGCCUUUACCUUGAACAUGCAAACUAUUUGAAGGUUGUUAUUUAGCCAGAAUGGAAGUAGAAUUGAUAUUGCAAUUCUGUUGGUAAUAUAGUUUUUGCCACAUCUCUUUUCUGAAGCAACUAUUUACAAUGAUUAUUUUGAGUUUCUCACUUCUUUGAUUUAUUCUGGGGUGUUCUAUUUUUGUAUAGUGAUGAUGUAGAUAACGAUUAAAUGUUUCGAUUAAGUUUAAAUUGAAGUUUGAUUGUUAUCCCAACUCAAGGCAGGCAAAUAACUAUAAACAUGAAGAGUACCCCGUAGAUCAUGAUUUAUAGUUUGAUUAAUGUUACUUCUAUGUAUAUAUUCAUUCUGGUGCAUAGUUAAUUCCUCUUUAUGCAAUGCAGAGUCAUGCGAAUCGUUACAAACGGUACAUUGUUCCUGUGCUAUCUGUUCAGAUGGACUUCUAUGUUCGAGUUUUCGUCCGUAUCUACUCGUAUGUGGCCUUUUUACUUUAAAUUAGUUCAAUGUCAGAUAUUAGGCUAAAUAACAUGUCUUUCUUUUGUUGUUGACUGAUAGUUCAAACAAUUGGUUGCAGUUCUGCAAGUGCAAUGAAGAACACUCCCCUUAAGCUCUCCUAUGUUUAUCAGUGCAUUGGUUGCGAUUCUUUUCAUCUUCAGCCUAUUGGAAGGACUGUCGCCAAGGUAUGAUGCUGAUAUAAUAUGCCUUCAGUGUUAGCAUGUGCUUAUGUAUUGAUGACAAAAAUCAUCUCAAGAAUGUUGAUUCUCUUUCUUUUCCCCAACUAUGUGUAAGGUCUAAAUUAUAUUUGUAACAAUGACCUUAAAAAGCUAAAUGGAAAGUUAGAAGGGUUGAUGUUACAAACAACCUUUUAGGACGGUUACCUUCAUUCAUAGGACAUUGAUCUGUCAUAGUUCUUAUCCUACUUAUUAGCAAGCUUUGUGCAACUGUACAAUAUCUUCAUAUACAUGUCUCUGUGAGUAUGUGUUUUGAAUAUGUUACACCCCUCUGAUUUAUUACAAAGAGUUGUGCAUGCGUUGAAGGCUUGUGGUUUUAUAUUAAUGGAAUAUGUCUCUGUGAGUAUGUGUUUUGAAUAUGUUACACCCCUCUGAUUGUUACAAAGAGUUGUGUAUGCGUUGAAGGCUUGUGGUUUUGUAUUAAUGGAAUUUUAUUUUAUAGUUUAUUUCAAUAGUUUUCUGAUAAGGCAUCCCUUUGCUUUUUCAGAACAGCAGUGUAAGAUAUCUACCGGGGUUUGGUCCUGUUGUUCCUCAAGAAUGCAAUGAUUGUGGGAAGAAAUUCAAUAUGGGUGGGCCCAUAUGGUCUGCUCCUAUCCAUGAUCAAGAGUGGGUAACUUCCAUACUAUCAGAUGUGAAAUCUAUGAAGGAGCGGUAUCCUGCUUAUGAUCGCAUCUCUGCUGUACUAACAACAAUUUCAGAGGUGUGCCCUUUGUUUGUUAUUUAUACUAUUAGAUAUAAAUUAGAUGUGCUGUUGUGUUUAAGCAUGGCUGGCAUUAGAUGCUACUGAAAAGUUUGCCUUUCUUCUAAGAAAUAAAAAUGAUAACUUAUGUUUUGGGCAACCCAAAAAUAUAGAUGUGCAUGUGUAUAAUAUUUAUGUCUUAUGCGGUUUUAGUAAUCUAGUUUAUUGUUUGCAGGAGUUGCCUGAUGUUCCUUUGUUCUUGAGUCUGCACAAUCUCUGUGCCACACUGAAGUGUACUUCCCCAUCUGCAGUGAUUUUCCGUUCUGCUGUGAUCAAUGCAGGAUAUCGUAUAUCCGGAACUCAUGUAAACCCCUUGGGGUUAAAAUCAGAUGCUCCCAUGGAUGUCAUUUGGGACAUAAUGCGCUGUUGGGUGAGCAGUCUCUUUCCGUUCUCGCUGGUUUUUUUUUUGUCAUGCAUAUAUAUAUAACUAGUUGACAAUCUGUUAUGGUCCCUGCUUCUUGAUCCCUCUCUGCCCCACAUUAGACAGUGUGAUUCUGUUGUUUAUCCUGUCUCUACACUGUAGAUUACUUGUUAACUGCAUUAGACUUUCCAUGAGGUUACUGCUGUUCACUAAUUGGUUGUGGGAUCAUAUUAUGCCUUGAUUCUGUGUAGGUGAAGAAUCACCCAGUGAAACCUCAGCCUCCAGAUCAAUCAGGAACCGUGAUCCUUGCUAAGGAACCUGUUCUCCAAGUAUGUUUUUCCCAUUCUUGGAUAUGCUUUUGCAUAUAUUUGUGACUGAAAAUUCUCUUACUGACAUGUUUUUUUUAUUUUGGCAGGCUAAUUUUGCUAGAGCCGUUGCGUCUCUAAGCAAGGCACAAACCAAGAAGGUAGCACGCUUCCUUCCAAAUCCGGAAAGGCACUGGGGCCCAAAGCUUAGGGCAGGUCGUCAAAUCACCAGCAAACACAUAUCUCUCUUGGGUCCAGACGCUGUCAAUGGAGUUCUUAACCAUGAAGAGGAUGAGGAACAUAAUGCCAAGCGUCAAAAGAUUGAAGAUCAUCCCACCCCAAAUUGAUGAAAUGAACGUUUUAAGUAUGUCAACCAAGUUGACCUAGAGCUCCAUGCAACCGUUACAGAGAGAACAUACAUAAUCCUCAUUCCUCUUAAUUUUUAUUUGGAGACAGCGAGAUGAGGGGGAGAGAGAGGCUUCUCACGAGCCAGUAAUGAAGCCGCAGUAAAAUUAACCGGAGCGGCAACUUUCUAGUGAAUUAGAAGUCAUUUUCAGCAAUUUUGAGUUUUGAUUAGACCAUAUUUAUUAGCAUACUUUUGAGUUUGUAAAAGCAAUUUUCUUGGAUUAUUAUUUUAUUUUAUUUAUGCAAGAGGUUGAGAAGUAAGUUUUAUUUUGAGAUAUUUAGUGAUAUACUCAUUCUUAGCACUAAUAUUAUAGAUAAACCCUGCAACAUUGAAUUUCUAUAAACAAAACUAAAAAAAAUUCAAGAAAUGACAGCUGGCCUUAUUGAAUUUAAUAUUGAUUAUUAAAUUACUUUGAUACCCUAUUGAGUGUUUUGGGUAUUUUUAUGAGAUUUUGAGAUUGGACUUGUUUUAAGAAAUUGAUGGCAGUUUUGUAAUUUAUAAGAAGUUAAAAAUCUUUUUGUUAUGUCGUAAAUAGGCUUUGGGUGUGUUUCUAAGAGCAUGUCCACCUCAAAAGGCUAAGGCUAAGGCAAAUGUAAGGCAAGGGCUGCUAUUAUUCACGUGAAUAGUGGCAGCCUUGUCUUUUUUGGUUCCACUUCAAAAGGCUAGGGUAAGGGCAAUGGCAAGAAAAAAAAAAGAAUAUGCAACAAAAUAUUAACUUGUUAUGUAUUUAUAGGGAAAACAUCCAUAAUUUUUUGGUAUUUUUUAAUAAUCAAAAAUUGAAUUUUUUUCAAUUUUUUUUUGCUCACUAACAUUAGAGCCCUCGGGCUGAAGCCCAGACAAGAUCUGUCCUUGGGCUUGUGGGACCCGGGCCUUGCCUGGGCUGUUGGUUGCACGCUGGAGGUCCAAACCCUUCAAAAGGGGCCUCCUGCCAUGGCUAAAGGCCCUGCGCUGGAGAUGCUCUAAAGUCCAUUUGAUAUGAAGUAUUUUUAUAAUUUGGGCCAUGUAUUGGGUAUAAUAGUGAAUCUCCCUAUUAUUUUUAUCUGAAAUUAAUUUUGUUAUAUACCCAGUGCCUGAAGUAAAUGCAGAAUUCGAAUAUGGAAGAAAGAGGAGCCCAGUAGAGAUGCCAAACCAUACACAUUGCACACUUGAAAAUAUAUAUUGGGGCAUCAACCUCACCCAGGUUCUCAUUUAACAAGAUGAAUGAAAAAAAGAUUGAAAGUCCCACCAAGAUAGAAAAAGCUUGACGAUUAACAACAAAAGUAUUGAGAUACAAAAAUAUGCCAACACGAGUCUGUUUAUCUGCCAAUUAUGUAUAGGCAAACGUUUAUCUUUGGAUUAAAAUGCUAAAUGAACUACAUAUUUUAUUGCACUAAGCUCAUUGGACGAAGUAAAUAAUUAAAAUUACAUCUGCCGGUAUGCAAAUCAAAGCGAUGACCAAAAUGUCUCAGGAGGAUAAAAAAAGAUACAGUGACUAAACUAAUGAUAGCUCCAAGAAAGUACAGCAAAUAUAAGAGCAAAUUGCAGUUGAAUAUUCAACUUUGUUUAAGUUCUUGUUUUACUUAGCCUUGCCGUUGGCCAGUUUGGCACCAGGUCCAGUUGGGUUAAGCUCAUCCCAAGCUUCAAUCCAUGUGACCAUGGCUUCGGCGAGCUUGUCGAAGUAGGGAUCCACCUUGCCGAGCUUUUCCUUGACCUGCUUGGACAGUUCAACAUAGCAAGCUUGAACAGUGGUGCAGUCUUUGGGAAGAACCGCAGCUUGGAAGAAUGGGAUGAUCUCUUCCUGCCAGAAGAUGCCUUUGUACUCCUUCCUCAGGUUCACAAAUGGGUUGCUGGCUUUGCUGUGAUAGAUAUAAGGCAGGCCUGUCUUCACUCCCAGUCCCAAGUGGUCACAUAUCACCUAUGCAUUCAUUAACAUACCACAUUAUUGUUAAUAUAUAUUCACAUGAAAGAAAGAAAACUAGAAUUACAAAUCUUAUUGGUAUGGAAGAAACAGAAAAAGAAAGGGGACCUUGAUGCACCAGCCAGCCCACAUAUCGUCGUAGCGUCCAAUUGGCUGACCAUCACCCAUGAGCCCGAAGUACAUUGCAGGGCCAAUGAGUUCACGGUCGAAACCCAAAUUCAUACCACACAUGGGGAACAAGGUGCCUUUUGGAAUUGUCAGAACAGCAUCCACAAACCUUGUGAAGAAGCACAAGCAGAGUGUUAAAAACCAAUAUUACAUAAUGCAGCAUACAAUGUGAGACGCAAGACUUAGGAAGUGUCUACCUGGUGUUCCUCUCAAGAGGCUUCACAAGCUGUGUAGGUGCAUCAUAAUCUGGGAUGUUUAGCCACAGACCAUGAGAAACAGCAGUCGGGACACCCUCGCGGAGACUGAAAGGGUAUCCACGAACGAAAUCAGCGCCAUCUCUGUAAGGAUCAUACAGAGUGUUGAAGAAAAAGGGGGUGGAUGGUGAAAGAAGGUUCUUGAUGUGCUGCUCUAGUGCAUUGACGGGUUUGCCAGCUGGGUCUUGUGCAACCUGAGCAUACACAUAAAAAAAAAAACCAUGAGCAGUUAAAUUAGACGCUAAUAAACUACAAUUAAGACUCCACCAUUUUUAUAACAUCAAAUAAUAAAAUAAAAUAGAAAAGAAAAGAGAAAAUAUGCCAAGCAGAUGCAUGCCCUGAGAGAGGAAAGGACAGAAGCAAGUUGCAGAUAAAACAAACACCAAAACUAUAUCUUAUCUCGCACCCAAAAAGAAACAAAUCUGGUAAUGUCAUUCUUUCUUCUAUUCCAAUAGAGAAGUUAAAACAAGCUAAAUGUAGAAAACUUAUUAAAAAAAGGCUGUGGCUUUUGCAUCCCUGGAAUGGAAUGGUACCAUUGGUCUCAGUCAAUCCAGUUUUAUUUGGAAUUGCAGACAUUGUUCAAUCCAAAUAUACAUUCUUACUACUGAAAAACUAUUAAUUAGAUUUGAGGUCUACACAUGAUCCAGUCUAGGCAUCAAACACACAUACAUGCAUUCAAACAUUGCGACAUUAGAGGCAUUAAAAUAAAAAUAAAGGAGACAGAACGUACCAAAUGAAUGAAAUCAUCGAAAUUUCACGCAAAACCAUGAAACAGAAGAUCAAAUAACAAGAAGAUCUAGACUUUAAAAACCCAAAAAGAAUAAAUAAAAACAAAACAAAGCCAAGAUGGGAAAAACAGAGGAAACAGCGGACUUACGAAGCAGUCAUCGUCAAUAGUGAAGAUGUACUUCUUCUUGGAGACCAUGUAGCCGAAGCAGCGGCAGGCAGAGUCCUUGAAGGAAAUGCAGGACGACCUAGGACCCAGAAUCCUGUUAAUGUCGUUACGAUUGUAGAGCUCAUAGUCAAAGCCAUCAGGGACCUUGAUGGUCUUUGAUGGGUCACCAUCUUGGACGAUGAUGAGGUGGUAGGGCUGAAGGAAUGGCCUCCACAUCUCGAGGAAGUCGAGGUUUCUGAUGGUGGGGAUGACAAUGUCAAGCUCAUCUGUCAAAAGGUGAGUUGCAGAAGCCAUUGCAGAAACAAAAGAUUGAAGCUUUGAGAGAGACAGAGAAGGAGGGAGAGAGUGAGAGGGGUAUGAAGGAAGAGAGGGAAUUUGUAUAGGAAUAUAAAUGGAGGAGGACGUGGUGGCACGUGAGGAGACGGAGAAAGCGGCACGAGUGUGGGGUUAGGAGGAGACGUGUCGGAGAUUUAAAGGUGAAAGAGAAUUGUUCAAACCAAAAGGCAGUCGAUUGAGAGAUUUGCAAAGACCAGAAGAAUAUAUGAUUUGAUUGAUUUUCUGAGGCUGUUCUUAGCUCUAAUUCCAUCAUGCAUUAUGAACCAUCCACGUGAUUUGUGAGAGUUUGAUGGUACAUUCGUUUUGUCAGUGUCACACAGGUUUUGUAAUUGGUUGGCUAAAUUAGCAGAAAAACUUGUGUGAAACGGGGAACCAAUUAAAGGUAGUUACGCGACAUGUGACAUGUCAUGAUUAACUGAGAGAGAAAAGCAGUGCUAUCAAGUGAACUCGCAGAGACGGUGGUAACUCUAGAGAUUUGGGAGGAGCAAAUUUAUCUCUCCGUUUACCAUAAACAAAGUUACCAUGUUCAAGUUAGUUGUUAGUGAGACUGGCACAGUGUUUUUCAUACAAACAAAACCUCUUGAGGAUCAUCCAAAUAUUAUGUCUUUAUUAACUUCAUAGUCCAAGGUAUAGUAGCUAAUGAAAAAAACCAAAAGAACCCAAUUUUUCUUUUAAUUAAAAAAACUUCUUUUAAAAUUGGAACAUGGGAAUUUUGAGUAACCGACAAUCUGAAAGGUAAACAAAAGAAAGAAACAUGGGAUAGGGAGAGAAAGGUGGAAGAGAAAAGGUGAAAAAGAAGAAGAAAAGCGUGUGGGUUCAGAAAGUUGAACGUGCAUUGAGCGUAGGAGCCUGUGUUGUGUUUCUCUUUGCGUCAAAUUAAAUUACUCAGUGAAAGAGAGAUUCUGGACUGGACUGCCUUAAUUCCCGCUAUUGAUUUCGGAGCUUUAGACAUCACCUCACGUGCGCAGCACACUCUCCUCACACAAAAUUUGGGCUUCAUCUUAAGCAACUCCCCCUCCUUUACGUUUCUUCAAAGUCAAUAGAGUAUUUAAUGACCCAAAAAACAAAACCUAGCCCAGAAUUACAACUUGGUACUGAAAUUGCUAAUUGCUUCUGAGUCUAAUAAUAUUCAAGAAUGUGAAAUUUCCAAUCAUGGGCAUGUUGAUUGCUUAGCCCAAAAGAGAUUUUUAGAGUUUUGCAUCUUAUCAAGCCCAUGAGUUGCAGAAGCUUACAGGGCAGAAUGCCCUACAAUUAUGGUUAACCGACAAUUGCUCAAUUUUUCAUAGAAAUAUGUGUAAAAUUCAUUUCAAAGUGGCCUCAUAUUAAACUGUAACUGCAAGUCCGUCUGUAGUAUAGGUUUUGAGUCUGCUACACAGGGCCUAGGGGAAUGCAUAUCAUUUGUCAGUUUUAGAGUUUUCUUCUGUCUCUGCAUUCCAGAACAUAACAUUAGCCGACAAAAGGAAAUUGCUCAAUUUCAUUGAUUCUCUAUUGUGUUAGCACGUUAUCAUACAUCAUAAAUAUUUUCUUUCAUAUGCUCUCUCUCUCUCUCUCUCUCUCUCUCUCUUAUAUUCUUUUCCAUGUACAUAAUUCAGUUAGCAAGAUGAGACACCCUAAGGUGCAGUCCAUUUGGUGCCUCUACUCUUGGAAAUUUCGUCAGUUUGUCUCCCCCAACUUCUUCCCACCUGCAAGGAACACGAAUAUAUACCAUCAGAACAAGCAUUAGAAUUUCAUCUUAACUGAGAAAGUUUUUAAAUAAAUAAAAAAAGUUGAAAAUUUAUGUGUUUUGAUGUGGGUUUUUAGUCACCUGUAUCUAGUUACGAAGUAGUGCAGGAAAGUUGAAAUCUCUGCAAUUCCAAGUUCCUUUCCUGGACACUGCCUUGUGCCCCCUCCAAAUAUAAGGCAGUAGUUGUGAGAUUCCAAGCUCUUGUCCUGCAUUUUUCAUUCAGACCCAAUUUAGUCACAUUUUCUAUGAAGAAAUUACUAAUCUUAAUCUCACAGGAAAAUAAAUAAAUAAACAAAUAAAUAAAUAAAGAGUGUCACUAACCAGCCAUCUCCAUGGAUUGAAGGUUAAUGGAUCAGGAUACAGAAAGGAGUCAUAAUUAAUCUCUCUGGUGUAAACAUAAAUUCUCCACCCCUUUGGAAUCAGAUAACCUGUUGAAGGAUUGAAGAAAAAAGCUGUGGUUAGCUACUUGAAACAUAUCUUAGCUCCUGCCUUUGUUGAUGAUGAAGCUUAAUUUUAAGCCCUGGUCCACCACUAUCUUAUCUAAAACCCUAGCCAUUAAAAACCAUCUUAAAUAUUAUGCAACCUAAAUUUCCCUAUGUCAUUAAAAAAAAUCCUGAUUGUCUAGCUGUGUGGGUAUAUUUGUUGUGAAAAAUAAUCAUGGGUGUGGACACAUCACUCUUGUGAGUCAUAUCUAUGCACUGUUUCACUCUCUUUUUUGGCCAAUAAUGUAUUGGAAGUUGCAUAACAGUUUCUUGAAUAUCAUAUAUGCCUUUAAAAAAUUUCAUGUCUCACCAUUUAGCUCCAUAUCUUGAGUGGUUUUCCUCAGCACCCCAUUGACAAUGGUAGCUAAUCUUGAGGUCUCAAAUAUCACCUGCAGGGGAAAGAAAAGAGAACAUAGAAAUAUUAGCAAACCCUGCUGUUAUAAUAAGAAAAAAUGCAAACGAUGCAUCCAAUUAAAGCUGAGAAAUCUCUUACCGCACGAGUAAACCGCAUGGAUUUCAAGUCAUUCCAGUCAAUUGGAUCCUCUGGCCUUUUCUUUUCUCUGAUUGCCAAAUGUUCUUUCUACAAAUUAUGCAGUUAAAGUCAGAACUGCAAGCAUGAGAAUGCAACACAACAACAUGAACAAGAACCAAGUUUUUUUGUUUUUUGUUUUAAGAAUCAUAUACAUCUUAAACUUACUCUGAGUUCUUCAAGCGCUUUGGGAUGAUCAUGGAGGUACUUCACAGCCA